AAAAUUACUUGCGAGAUGACGCAAGUCGCCAGAAUGCGAAGACUUGCUCUCCUCUCUCCCUUCGGAAGAGGACUGGGUCCCCACCUCUCUCCCUUUCGAAGAGGACUGUGUCCCCUCCUCUCUCCGCUUGUACCAGGGUUUCUGGUUCCCCUCUUGGCUCUUGAACAGCGUCGUCGCUUGCCAAAAUCACUUCCAAGCUCACCCCUCCGACAUCCUCCUCGUCACCAGCCCGAAAUGUGGCACCACCUGGCUAAAGGCCAUCCUCUUCGCUCUCUUGAACCGUGCCAAGUACUCUGACUCCUACUCACAACCACGCCACCCUCUCCUAACCCAAAACCCCCACGACCUCGUGUCCUUCUUGGAGUUCGGGCUCUAUCUCCAGAAUAAAAAUCCUGAUCUCACUGCUUUUACGUCCCCAAGGCUCUUGGCCAGCCACUUGCCUUAUUCCUUGCUUCCGCGAUCGGUGAGGCACUCCAAUUGCAAGCUGGUUUACUUGUGUAGGAACCCUAAAGACACUUUCAUCUCGAUGUGGCACUACUUCAACAAGUUCAGGCCUGAAGAGAAGGGCCAACUUCCACUCCUAGAGGGCCUCGACAAGUUCUGCAGAGGCAUGAGUGCGUACGGGCCUUACUGGGACCAUGUGCUGGGUUACCACAAGGCGAGCUCGGAGAUGCCCGAGAAGGUGUUGUUUGUGAAGUAUGAGGAGAUGAAAGCGGACCCGAGCGUUCAAGUGAGGAGGUUGGCCGAUUUCAUCGGGCGUCCAUUCAACGAAGAAGAAUUGAGAAACGGGACCAUGGAGGGAAUACUGAGGAUGUGUAGCUUUGACAAUUUAAGUGCAUUGGAGGUGAAUAGGAGCGGCAAGUUGCCGGGUGGAGUAGAGAAGAAGUGGUUCUUCAGGAAGGGCGAGGUUGGAGAUUGGGUGAAUUACAUGAGCGCUGAAAUGGGAGAGCGAAUUGACGGUGUCAUGGAAGAAAAGUUGCAUGGUUCUGGUUUGAAGUUUUAGGACAUAUGACCCACUCGAAGAUAUUUGGUUUGAUGGUGGAAAAGAAAAAUGUGUAAAAAAGGAAGAAAAAAGAAGCAAAAACGAUUCGAUUGUCCACACUUUAGGGGGUCAAUGUCAGGUUGGCCAAUGCGAGCGUGUUUCUGAUGCUAUAGGAUGAAAGAUUUUCAGUGGCAUUGUCAGUCGUGGCUUCGUCUCCAUAGUGAGAUGCUUUAAGGUUGUGAUUCUACUCUUCAUCUGUGUUGUGUAUUAUUAGCGUUUUGCAGAAGUUAUUUGGCCAGUACGUAGCUGGCUAAACAAAAGCUGCCUUGCUGCUCCCUGGGAGCUUGUGGAUGUAUCUUCUGUUAUUCAUUUCAAUUCCAUUUUUCUUUUUCUCUUGGCUGUGUGAAGAUUCGUGGCAUACGGUAUUAAAUACAAAGCAGUUAUUUGGUAGGUUAAACUACAAAUUAUAUUUGUUAGAUGGAAAAUAAAUUUGUUAUUAAACUUAUCGGUCCAGUUUAAUUUGUCGGUUUUCAAAGCCAUAAACUAAAACCAAACGAAAAACCAAAGGAAAAAAAAAUUCCUAAACCAAAAUUAAAACACCAAGGGCGCAUUUGGUAAUGAUUCUAUUUCGGGGAACAAUUUUUUAGCAAAAUAACACGUUUGGUAACUUCCCAAAAUUUAUAUUUUUGGGAUAGAAAUACGUUUGGUAAAAUUUUUAGAUUUUUUAGAUUUUUUAGAUUUUUUUAUUCUUUUACUAUUUUUCCUUAUUUUUUCCUUAUUUUUUUUCAUUUUCCUUUUUCUCUUUGGUCAGUCGUCGGCCACCGGCUGGGCGAUGUCCAGCAAGCUCGCCAGAGCCUCGCCAAGCUUGGGCGAGGCUCAACGAGCUCACCUGAGGCCAGCCUGGCCACAGCGAGCCUCUGCCUCGCUUGAGCGGCGUGAGGUUGGCCUUGCCCUAGCCUGAGAAGGCCCAGCCUCGCACCGAUUGGGGAGGGCGAGCCUUGUUGUUGCCACUCAAGGCUUGUCCUCGCCCAAUUCUGGCAAGGCUGAGCUUGCCUAGCCACCGACGAGGCUUGGCCUCAUUGGGCCACCGCCAGGCGACGCCGUCCUGGAGGUGGCUCGGCAAGGCCGAGCCUUGCCAGUGGUUGGGUGAGCUUGGCCUUGCCAGAUCUAGGUGAGGUCAACCUCACCCAUCCCAGGUGAGGCAAGCCUUGCCAUGCCACACCCAGCCAUGGUGUGGCUUGGGCCGACGAGCCUCGCCGUGGCUUGGCGUCUCUGAGGGCGGGCAACGCUCUAACGAGGUUGCAAGCCCUCGUCUGGCCGGUUGCUAGUGCCAGCCAUGGCCAAGGUUGGCGAUCGGCUAAAAUGAAGAAGAAAAGAAAUAGAAGAGAGAGAGAAAAAUUGAUUCUAGAAAUUGUUAUCGGGAACAAGAAGUUACUUUUUUCAACUUUUUGUUUAUGUUCCAAAUCUAUUCUCAGGAACAAAAAUUUAGAUUUUGUUUUUGUUUUCGGAAACAAAAGUUUUACCAAACACGUUUCUAUUCUUUUUUCGUUCCCUGAAACAAAAGAAUAGAAAUUUUUGUUCCGGGGAACAUAAAUUUUUUUAACAAACAAGCCCUAAAUUGCUAAACUGAGCUUAUCGAUUUUGUUCGGCUCGGUUGAUCGUUUUUUUCUGUUUUUCAUGAACAAUCCUAAUAGCAUAGAUCCUUGCCGAAGCUGGCUAUGGUUGGGCUGUGGCCAUAUUCAUGCGGUUUAUUCUUUAUUCUUUAUUUUUUUAAAACUUUCUUUCAUUUUAUUUUUUAAGAAUUCAUUAAAUUUCAACUGUUCCUCUUGUUUUUGGCUCUUUUAAGUGUUUUGAUAAACCAGCUUGUAGUUUGGUUGACCUCCUUUUUAUAAUGUAUCAAUGAGAAUAAAAAAUUAAUUUUGUCAUGUUCUUUAAUUUACUUUGCCAAUUGCUUGCCAAGUGAUGUCUUUAGCUUCCGCGUCUUUAAUCUUGUCCAUGAUACCUUCGACUUCAUUCUUCAUAUACCCAUUAUGAUUUUUCUCCUCUUUUUGCUGAUCGCCUGUUAACGGCCUAGCCAAGCCCACGCUCUUUCGAUGCUAGACUUCAGCCUACCAUCAAUUUUUCCUUCCAUAGAUGGUGCGCAUGAAGGAAUCAAACCAAAUGAAAAGAAGGCAAACGGUGAUAGAAAACGAGGAAAAGAGGAAACGGAGAAGAGAGAGACAAAGCUUGAGCGCGCAUCUCACGGGAAACUCGCUAAGCCAGGUUAGCCUCAUUUUGCAAUGCCCAAUAAUUAAUCGAACUCGUUAUUCGUCUAAUCAAAAUAAUUUUGGGAAUUAGGCCGCAAAUUUGAAGUUUAAGUGAAUUUUGAACCGUGGUUAAGGAAUUAUUAAGUUAUAUAUGGAAAUGGUCCUGUUUUGUGUGGGCAAAGUUGUGAGCCCACCACAAUGAAUGAGUUUGAAAGAGGGACCCAAGAUUUGACAUGUGCUCUCAUAUCAUAGAGCAAUACCAAAUCAUAAAAUUUAAAACAUUAAAUGAAAGGAGACUACCAGUAUACAAAACAUAUCAAACUCUAAUAAUUUAUGUGAUUUAGAACGAUACUUAAUAGUUUGAAUGGAUGAGACACCAAAUAAUUAUACUGGUGGAGGUAAAGGAUCUCAUUCCAUUUUGGGGUAUCUAUACAUUAUAAAAUUACCCUCCAACUUUACAGAAUCCUGCCAUUUUUAUUCAAUUACAGAAAUUAAUUAAAGUGGCCCAAUUGCAAUGUGGUGAGAGGAUCCAAUUCAAAGACACAUAGUCAAUAGCUCACUAUGUAGUGAAAAGAGUGACAUCUGGACUCCCGCAUACUUUUUUUUUAAUAAAAAUUGCCAUAAUUUUCCACAUAUGCACUAGCCUUCCUAAUCAGCUAUGCCACAUAAGACGGUUGAUAUUCAUGUUAGUAAUUACUAGCCAAAAUUAGUUGAAAUUGUUGGAAAUUAAUCCCAAGAAUACACACUGUUUGUUGUAGUCAGAACAUCAAUGUAAAGAAGACAAUAACAGUUAUAUAAUAUCCUUCUUUUUAUGUAAAAUUACAAAACUUGAAGAAGAAUAAAAUAAGAUAUUACUGGAAAAAUAACAUAAAAUUGGAGGUGAGGUACGGAUAACCGAAUCUCCUUAAGGCGAUUAGUUCCUGCCAAUGGUGCUCCGCAGAUUCACGAACUAUGCCUCCCAAGAUACAACACCUCGAACCUGUUUGGAUUAGCACUAUGCAAAUAGGACUCAAUCGAACCGUUCAAUUGAACCAUCACAUCCAGAAAAAACAGAAGAGUUGAAACGUAUAUCAAAGCUCUUUUGGAAUCGAGUUAGAAAAACCAAAAACCAAAAACCUUUAUGAAGCUCUAUGCUCAUAUCUAUUUAUAGAGAAUUUUUAGUUCAUGUACUAAAGAGAUACAUGAAUUAAAUAGACGCGUGUAUCCACGAGAUUCAUGAAUAAAGAGAUACGUGAAUCCAAGAGAUUCAUGAACUCAAUAAAUACAUGAACUAAAAGAUACACGGAUCUAAGAAAUUCAUGAAUUCAAUAGAUACGUGAAUAUAAAACUAUAGGAAAUUCAUGAAUCCAAAAUAGAUACGUGAACAAAAAGGACGUAUCUUAAUUUAUUGGCUUUCGUUGAUCCAUUAACCAUAAUUAUAACCAUAAUUACAACAAUCCCCCACAUUAAUGGAUCAACAAAACAUUUUUGACUCGAAGGAAUUUGAGCAUGCCUGUUGAAAUACACUGCAUCAAGAUAGGUAGUUUUCGCUUUGAACCUUCUUUAGUGAAAGCCUAUCUGACUUACUUAACUAGUCGAUGGACUAAGCCUUGAAUCGCCAAUUGUUUGUGUAAGCCUAGACAAUAAACCUCACAUGGAGUAUUUCCAAUUCAAGAUUGGUUCUCGGUUGUGUUCGUUCUUUCAGCCCUGAACCUCUCGGGAUUAAUGUGUGCUUUAGAAAAUCUAGCCUUUAAAGAUUUUCAUAGAGUCGGCCAGCUCCACGCAUAUAGGUGUAUUCCUAUUAAAGAUAUCCUAUCAUAUCUUACUUGGAUGUUAUAUUCCAAGUUAUAGGAAUCAUUAAAUGCAUAGCGUACCCUUAAUAACGCUGUAGGAAAGCACUGUUGCAUCAUAGGAAUGGGAGAUAAUGCUUACACUAGAGUUUCUAGAAUUUGCGUUGUCCUAUUGAACCUAGACCAUGGGAUUUCCAAUCGCAUAGGUUAGGUUUCCACCCUGGAAUCUCUUUAUUGGGUUAAGGCUCUUAAACCCAUUCCCCUCGAUGUGCAGUUUAUCUGCUCUUUUGACAAACUUGUUGUCAGCGAAUCUGCUAUAUUUUCCUUUAACUUUACAAAGUAUAAAAAAUGAUUCUAUUUAGAGCAACUGCCUUACGGUAUUAUGUCUAUGACGAAUGUGUAUAGACUUACCAUUAUAAAUCACAUUAUGCACCCCCACACUUUUAGAAAAUUGUAGGAUAGCAACUUUUCAUUCCAUAACUCGUAUGGAGUUUUACCUGUCUCUUUGUGGGGUAUUUUAUUAAGAAUAUAAUUUGCAGUUAAAACUGCCCCCCCCCCACAAGUUCUGAGGUAAACCUGAACUCAAAAGCAUGGCGUUAGCCUUCUCCUUUAGUGUCAUGUUCAAUCAUUCGGCAACUCCAUUUUGUUGUGGAGUAUAAGGUGCAAUCGUUUGGAGAAUUAUUCCAAAGCUAGCACAAAACUCCUUGAAAUUGAUUGAACUGUAUUCUCCUCCUCUAUUCUGAGGCACAUAAUGAGAUCUUCAAGGCUCAUCUCCUUCCGUUUGCGCUUCAAAUAAUUUUGAAGGCUGACUAGCCCGGAGGCAAUUUCUCAAUCAUAGCCGCCACUUGGAAUGAUUCACUAAGUAUCAUUCCCUCAGCAGAGAUGUCGCUCAGAAUUAAUUGUAAUUCUUAGACCUGACUCAUGACAUAUAUAGAAUCCACUAUCUUGUAGUCCAAGAAUUUGGCAACCACAAAUUUCUUGGUGCCAGCAUCCUCAAUUUUGUAUUUCUUCUCUAAGGACUCCCAUAACUGUUUAGCAGAUUCAAUAUUACAAUAAACGUUAUAUAGAGAAUUCACUAAGUAGUUAAGAAUAUAAUUUAAGUAUAAGAAGUCUCAAUGCUUCCAAGCCUCCAACGCACCAAGUGUCGUGACAUCUUGCUCAUUUGGACUAAUUAUCGGGCACACGUCCGAUAAAUAUUUCGUUAGAUUGAGCAUGGUCAGAUAGAAGAACAUCUUUUGUUGCCACUGUUUAAAGCCCACUCCGGUGAAUUUCUCCGAUUUCUCAUUAGCUGUAACUGGAGGUGUUGCCAUCACAGUAGGCAAGGUUUGUUGAACUACCCUCCAGAACCAGAGCCAAAAGCCAUUUAGCCUAUACUGUUCUAAAAAACAGUCCGGGACAUACCAGUCGUAUGACUUGUACCCACACCACCAAAAUUGGUGUUAGCCCAAGGGCCCGUAGUAUUGGCUACUACAAAUUCAGACCUUGAGGGCUUAAAAUCUUCCAUAGUAAUGGUCGAAUCAACCAUAGGAAUGUCUCCUGAAACAUUAUGGACAUUGAAUGGCACUUGAUUGUUUUCAGCCAUCUCAAUAAUCUGACAAGAACAACAAAUAGUGAGUGAUCUAAUCGCCUUAAGAUUGUUGGAAAUUAAUCCAAAGAAUACACACUGUUUGUUGUAGUUAGAACAUCAAUGUAAAGAAGACGAUAACAAUUAUAUAAUAUUCUUCUUUUUAUGUAAACUUACAAAACUUGAAGAAGAAUACAAUAAGAUAUUACUGGAAAAAUAACAUAAAAUUGGAGGUGAGGUACGGAUAACCGAAUCUCCUUAAGGCGAUUAGUUCCUGCCAAUGGCGCUCCGCAGAUUCACGAACUAUGCCUCUCAAGAUACAAUACCUCGAACCUGUUUGGAUUAGCACUAUGCAAACAAGACUCAGUCGAAUCGUUCAAUUGAACCAGCACACCUAGAAAAAACAGAAAAGUUGAAACGUAUAUCAAAGCUCUUUUGGAAUCGAGUUAGAAAAACCAAAAACCAAAAACCUUUAUGAAGCUCUAUGCUCAUAUCUAUUUAUAGAGAAUUUUUAGUUCAUGUACUAAAGAGAUACGUGAAUUAAAUAAACGCAUGUAUCCAUGAGAUUCAUGAAUAAAGAGAUAUGUGAAUUCAAGAGAUUCAUGUAUCUUUGGAUACAUGAAUUCAAGAGAUUCAUGAACUCAAUAAAUACAUGAACUAAAAGAUACAUGAAUCUAGGAAAUUCAUGAAUUCAAUAGAUACGUGAACAUAAAACUAUAGGAUUUUCAUGAAUCCAAAAGAGAUACGUGAACAAAAAGGACGUAUAUUAAUUUAUUGGCUUUCGUUGAUCCAUUAACCAUAAUUAUAACCAUAAUUACAACAUAAAUGACUAUAUUGACAAAACAUUAAAAGAUUUAAGAUUAAAUUGGUUAAAUUGAAAAGUUUAGGACUGAAUUAACCACCGUAUAAUAGGUUUAUGACUUUUUAAAUAAUUAUCCAUAAUUUUUUCUGUUGAUUGAUAAUGGUUCAUCCUGACAGAGUGAAGUACCACUUACUUUUGAACAGCCAAAAAAUUGAUGAUGCUUACAUAUACAAACGUCAUUACGCUAUGGCUAUAAAUGACUAAAAAAAUGCAAAUAUCUUCACUUACACUAGAUGUACACCAAAUGAACUCAAAAUUGCAUAUCUAACUAAAGAGACAUAUUUUCCUCUAUUCUUGCUAAAGCCAAUCUCAAAGUAGAGGAUUAGACAACCCGCUUGCAUAUUUAACUAUAAAUAAAAUGUGUGCCAUGUCAAACUAUGAUUGGAUGCUCUAACUAGGGUAGCUAAAGAUUUUCUAUGAUGUUCAUUGUUCAUAGGUUAAGAAACAACAGAAUAUGUAACUGGUUUGUAAUACCAAUUCUCACCAAUAAAGAGAAAAACUCAGAAUAAGUAGUUAGAGUAGAGAAUAAAAGUGAAAAUCAUAUUUUUCCCUGACGAGGAGAUUUGGUAGGAUGUUAAUUUCUUGCAUCUUGAUACAUACAAAUGUAAUAUCAUAUAGUAUGAAUUUGGAUGAGUAAAAAUUGAUUUACACGAUGAAAUAAUAGAUCCCAAUGAGUAUCUAAAUUAAGGAGGACGUGUACAUUCAAGCAUCCAAUAAUAGUUUUGACAUAUACACCAAUAAAUAUCGGUCUUUACCAACCUUGGUAUCAUCAAAAUUUUUUUUUUUUAAAGCUGUAGGAAAGCAUCAAAUAAUGCUGGGAGUAUUUAUCUAUUUGGGGUUUUUUUUAUUUAUUUGGAUCGAUAUUAUGAAAUUUCAUCCACGCUACCCCGGAUACGAGCCAACCAACGAAUAUUUCAAUAGGUUUGCUUCGCUUAGUUGAAAAUAGAGUUAAGUGGGCUACCUUUUAAUUGUUAUUAAAGGAUGAACAGGAACCUUCGAAUGUAUUGUUCAAAGUUGACAUGAUACAUAUGCUACUUGUAUAGAAAUUAUAAUUUGCAUUUCGCAAGAUGACAAAACAUAUUUUGCGUAUGAUAAGUUACUUUAUCCCUAUUGAAGAUGACGUUCACUUGGUAUACUAGUCAUCCCGUGAAUUCGAUACAGAAUGCAAAAUGCACCCGGAGAGAAUCCUUGAUACUUUGGGCGUUCAUCACAGUUUUUGGGCUAACAUUAUAAGAGUUAUUUUGCAUACGAUGUUUCGGGCAUUGGGUAAUGGCCAUGGAGGGUUUGACAUGAACAUAAAUUUGGCAUUAGCCACCAGAGAUGAAGUUGAAAUGGAAGACACUGAGGAAGCCUCAAUUGGAGGAUACAAGUCAAAUCCCAACCAAGUCACGCGGGGCGUCUCUAGAGGCACCAUUGAAAAGCUCGAGCGGAAGAGCUACUCUGUUGGGGAAGCUGAUGGAUGCUGUUCUAUUUGUUUAGAGGAACUAGAUGAGAAAUAUAGAGUGAAGGAGAUAUCAUGUUCGCACCUAUUGCACAAUAGGUGCAUUGUCAAGUGGCUCGAGAGGAAUAAUUCGCGUCCAUUAUGUCGUGGCAAAGUACAAGUACAAGAUUCAGAGUAGUCAGUUUUAGUUUGUAAGAUUUUCUAAUAAGAAAUGAAUUCUCUCUCUCUCUGUUUUUUUUCCCCAAUGGAUUAACUAAUUUGCUGCAAUGACUUUGGUACUCAAUGCAACGUCCGCUGCUACAGUUCCAAAAAUCACCCCUGUUAAAGAACCAAGGUCACCUGUGAUGUCCCAGUAGAGACUAUAUAUAGUGUCUGUUUCUUCUAUGGCUAGAACCUGGCGAAGAUAGUAACCUGCAUUCGGAAAGAGAGCAAAACGAAAAGAUAAUUGUCCCCAUCAAUAUUUACAUGAGAACACUCACAAAAGAAUGUUCACAUAAGAGUACCAAACGAGCAGGGAGCGGGGAGCGGGGGGAGAGAGAGAGAGAGAGAGAGAGAGAGAGAGAGAGAGAGAGAGAGAUUCUUACGCAAACCAACAUACAUAACAUGUGACAUCCUGAUUUUCUAUCUUGUCCCAAUUUUAUGAAUGGGCUUUUCAUCGACGCGCCUAUGGUCCUUUUUCUCUGAGUUGGCCACUCAUGAGAUAAUUAAUCUAUCUGGUGAAGCCAUUAAGGAUUGGAGAUAGGUUGAUUCGACAAAGGCACGUAAUUAAUUGUUGGUGAUUCCAUUUGAUUGCAAAAUUUUCGUCGAACGUCACUAAACCAAUUUUUCUGUCGAUUAUGUACCCGAUAUUCAUAAUUGAAACCUUGAGAUUUUCAUGACAAUCAAGAGUCGCCUAUGAGUUGGAGAUGCACUAUGUGGAUCGAAAAUAAUCGACCAUGGGUUAAACGUAUUAAAAAUUCCUAAAAGCUACCUAAUAGGUUAGGUCACACUAAAAUCGCGUUCGGUUGAAAUUAACCACGAAAUUGAACCCGGUUUCAGGAAUCGAAAGUUCUAGCAUGUCGCGAUUUAUUUUUAGAACGUCAACUCAUCCUUUGAAGAAUUUUCGCCGAGCUCGAAAUUUUGGCGGGAAUUCAAAAUUGGACAAUUUAAAGUGUGGAAAUUCGGAGGGGCAUUUUCAAGUGAAAUUUUGGCCUUCAAAAUGGAUUGAAUUGCGGAAGAAAUUGUGGAAUUUGGUUAGGGCUUCCUCCUCAACAAAUUUAGCCAUCAAAUUGGAGAGAAUUGUGAAGAAAUUGAAGUGCAAUGGGUGCAAAUUCGUAGGCUUGUGGGGAUGCUGCAAAUUGGUCUUCAAUUUGGCUCUAGUUGGUGAGGUUGUGUGAGGAAAUUGGCCUUAUGUGACCAAUUGAUCAAGUUGACAAGAUGGGCUGAAGAUAAGAGUGAAAAACACUCAAGUGCCAUAGAUAUUUGUGGUUGACUUGCUUGCUUCUUGUCCCCUCCUUGUUCCCUCCUUGUUCCCCCUCUCUCCCUCUUGGUUCCCCCUCAUUCUCCCUCAUUCUCGACCACCCCCAGUAGAAGCCCCCUUGUGCUGCCUUUUCCUUAUUCUUCAUCCUUUCUCCUCCUCCAUUGUUGAAGCAAAAAUAAAGGACUAACACUAGCCCUUGCACCGAAAUCGCAAGCUUCCGCCAGCUUGCCCUUGCGCCGUCCGAGCUGCUCGCGCCCUUGCGGUCCCCCCACGAGCCCAACUCCGUUUGCCUCGUGCCAUCCUUGCUUGAGCUGCCGUCCACAGCUCUCCAGCUCGUUGUCACUAAUCCCCGUGUCCGCUGUGUCUAGCUCCAGCCGUCCGACACUACCUCCAGCCUUCAGCCAAGCCGUGCGACCACUUAUAGUCCCUCGGUUCAGCCCCCUCCCGAACCGGUUUUCUCUCUUUAGCUGAGAGCUUGUUGGCUGUUUUCAGCCAUAUCCGGGCCUUCCUUAGUGUCGCUGUAGACCCGAGUUGUGGUCGCCGUCGUUGUGAACUGAUUUUUGCGCUAAACUGGUGAAUUUACCUCAUAAUAUCUAAUUAGGAUGCUAAUUACACUUAAAAGUGGAUUAGUGUCUAAUUAAUGGAUUAGUUUAGGCCUAUAUAGGAUUGAUGAUUAAUUUAGUUAGUUUAAUUAGUUAUUUAGUUAAUUAGUUAAAUUAAUUAGGUGGUUAGAUAGCUUAGAUGAUUAGUCUAAUUAGUGUAAUGUAUUUAUCCAAAGCUAGGUUAGUUAAUUAGUCCAAUUAGGUGGUUAGAUUAGCUUAGGUAGAUUAAUUAGUGGUUUAAUUUAAUUAUUUUGCAAUUUAUUUAAUUAUUUUGUAAUUUAUUUAAUUUUGUAUUAAUUAGCGGAAAUUAUACUGGGAUAGCCGGUUGUCAGAUUUUUGUGUUGAUCAUCGUGGUGCAGUUGAUUUGUGCAAUUGAUUGCUAAUUUAUGCAAUUGGAUGCUGAUUGAUGAUUUUUGAAUUAUUGUUUCAAAAAUAGGAAAUUUUGGUAUUUAAUUAGAAAAAUACCAGGUAUCAGUUUUUGAUGCAAAAAAUAUUUUAAGUGCUAUAUCAAAUUGUGGAAUUUUUUUAAAUGGGAGAGUAUCACGCUUUGUGGAUCAAUUUGACAGUGUGUCCACGCACAAUUAUUUUACCAGGUAUUUUUAAUAUGAAGAAAAUAGGCCAAAUACAUUAUUUGAAAUUGAGGCAUUUGAGUGCAAAGCACGAUAUCCUUGGUUGAGAUUGGAUGUGUGUGUGAUCGCUAUGAGAACCCGUCACCCAAUGAAAGUCGGGUGGGCGAUGCUUCUAUAUGGAAUACCCCACAUCAACAGAUGUCGGAUCGUGGUAGAGGCCGAACCGAUGCUCCUUCGGGAAUGCCGUCUAGAGGUAGACGUUGCCGUGCUCGACGGGGUGAGACGACGCCCGAUUAUGCCGGAGGACUACCGACUAUUGAGUUGGAAAUGACCCAGGUCAUAAGAACAUGGACACAUGUGAAUGAUUGAGAUAACCGUGCCUGAUUAUGGAACAAAAUUGUGUGGCAUGAAAUGGGACGUGUCAUAACAAUUUGGCCUUAUAAUUGGGACCCCUGUGAAUAUUUGAUGAUUGAUGUGCAAUGUCCCAGUUGUUAAAUAUGUUUGCUAUAUGCAUAUGUAUAUGAGAUGUGUUAACGUGCAAGGAGGUGCUGAGGCGAGGUAAGUCUUAUUUGAUAGGUGUUUAGGCUGCCUCUAAGUGAAUUAUCUUCCUAAUCUAGGUUUAGGGUGUAGACUCGCUGAGACAUUAUUUCACCCCGUCGUGGUUUAAUAUUUACAGGUCCUUAGAUGGAGGUGCGCCUCGUCCGUUUUGGGUGGUCGCGAGAGGUCGAGACCAAGCAUACUGUCUUCCCCCUCCUAGGGACUACCCGGACCCAUGAACUCGUAGUGACCACUAUCUGGGUUGAUGAGAGCCUACCUCAAUUGGUAUCUCAUCGCUUCAAGGUGUGGUUUCGCCACGAGCCUAACGGGGUUUGGGAGAGCCCCUUGGACGAUUUUGACGGACAUGUCGAAGGUGUCGAGUUGGAGAAGAUACUCGACCUCGUGUUCAACGCUGAUAUUAUAGCUGAUAUCGAGGCGAACCAAUUGCCUGAGGGUGAGGAGCCCGUAGCAAAGAUAGCUGACCCAUUAGACAUCGACAUCCUUGACGGUGUCGUGGUAGACCUAGAUCCCAACUAGAUUGGGUCUGGGGCAGCGUUAGUUUAGUAGCUCUUUUUGAGUCCAGGCCUUCUUGUACAUGACUCUAUAGGGCUGACUUAGUUUGUUUAUAAAAUAUUUUUUGUGUUAUCUGACUGUCCUGCUUUUCUAUCCCUUGUGUUUGUUGUUGUCUAGAGAUUGUUUAACUCGCUUCCGCAUAUGCAUAAAUCGUUUGGGUUGACAACGCGUCCUGGGAACGUCGCAAUUUAGUCGAUCGUCGAGGGAUAUGUGUGUGCCCAAUGUUCGGGGUGUGACGGAAUAUGUGCAACUUUAUUAGCUUGGUUCUGCCAUUUAUCCUAGGCAACAAUGACCCAUUCGUGAGAAAAUGGGGAAAGACGGCCAACAAUGUAUUAUGCGCACAUUUGAAAUAAAUUAAUAAGAUUGUUGCAGAUAUUUCUUAGAAAUUUAUUUAUUUUUUUAUAGUAGAAAGAGAAUAUUACUGAAGCGCACCAAGGGAGUGGAAACCCAUAUGCAAAAAGAGCUCGGUUACUCGACAAAUUAUGUACAGUGUUAAAGCAUUUCCAUCCGCACGACUUUCUAGGACACCAAAAGCAUAAUAUUUUUAACCAACUUUCAAUAAUUACAGAAAAGGGCGUUUCCUCUCCAAUGAAAGCUCUCAUAUUCGGCUCUCGGAAACUUAACUUAAACAAAUGACUUCCAACCAACAGAAUAUAUACAAAGACAUGCACAACAUAUGUUGUUCCAUUAAUGUUGAACACUUACAUAAGUUCUGGUAAUAAUACAAGUACCCGUGCGGGUAGUCGACCACCACACCGCCAGUGAAUCCAGCACGCAUGGCAGAACUUAAAAUCAACUCUGCUGGGCUAUGCUUUCUUGAUAAACUUGAAAAACUGCUCGUUUCAUCCCUUGCCAAGCAUCUAUAUGACGAGCCAAAAGAUGCCCUAAAAACACUCGAGACAAAUGUCGAUUAUAAGCCAGCCAAAUAGGGACUAGAAGUUCUGCAAGAUAGAAAGGCAGAAAAGAAGAAAUUUUUGAUCUGUCAGACAAUCAUCUAGUUAUCAUUCAAUGGUAAGGAAGACGCUUAAAUCUUAAGCGUGGCUCGUGAGAGCACCUAUUUGCGUUGCAUAACCACUGCAUGAAAAACAAAUAUAGAAUAAAAAAACUACAGAAAAGAAACCAAAAAGGAUUCCAAGUUACCCAUGGUAAAAUCUCAGAGAAUUUCCAGAAAGUGUAGCAAAAUUACGAAAUAAGAAUGUAUGGAAACGAUACAACAAUGACACAAGGUGUCUCACCAGGCUACGGUCCAUCAGUCCUUCAAACCCAACUAUGCCCAAGUUCUAAACAUUUCAUGUGCACACUUUACCCCAUAAGUAUCCACUUAAUAACAAGUCAUUCUUACGGAUCAUUCUUUUGGUGUCUAACUAGCAGAUAAAGGGGGAAAGACAGAGAGUUGAAUCUACCAAAGUUGAAGCACAACAGUGGCUACUUUCUGCAGGGAACUUUUCGUAUGGAUCAUUCUUUGAUUUGUCUGGCCCAAGCCAAGAGGGUUGUCACGCCCCGAUCCUUGAGUACAUGCCCAUCGCUCUCUGGUCGAUAAUAUUUUGCGACUUAUCAAGACGAGUCGCCGACCCUUUCAUUUUAUUGCACAUGCGAAGGUGAAUAAUAAAUCCCUUGACAGUAACCAUCUCGGGAUAGAAAAGCAGGACAACAAAUUCACAAACAAACAUGCCUUUAUAAACAUACCGAGUCAUGUACAAAGUCUGUAGCCAAAAGACUACAAAAGACUAGUCCUCCAAAUAGAAGUGGUCCUAACUGACCUACACUUUCGAUCACCUCUUCUCGACUCCAGCUCCUCCACUCGACGACCCUGAAAAUGGUUAUACAAUAACCAGUGAGACAAUGUCUCAACAAGUCCAAGAUCUAAACCCCAAUUAGGAGGGAAAUACGCCUAGAAGUGUUCUAAUCACACAAUCACACAAUCAAUGAGACUUACCUCAUCUCAGAUCCACCAUGCAAGUUAGUACAUUUUAUAUCUCAAACAACUUGAAAGCAUGAGCAACAACUAAGCUCAAUUAACUAGAACGCCAUACAAAAAUUCUCAAAUAAGCACAUGAGUAUUGAUUAUAGGGCCAAAUCGUUAUGACACAUGUGGCAUCCUGGAAUUUCAUAAAAAGUCCCUAAAUAUGCCAUGAGCUAUGGAUAGGCGAUAGAAGUACCUCUAUUGUAUUUUGUAGCCUCCUAGUCCAUGAGUUGCAAUGGGAUGUAAGGCCAAGUCUCUAAUGGAUGAAUUUUGGGAAAGGGAGUUUUAUCUUUGGCCAUGUGUAUGUGAUAAAUUGGAACUUAUGAAAUUAUAAUUUCAAGUGUAUAGUCAUCUUAAUUUGUAAUUUAGUACUUCAAUUUAAUAGGGAUUUAAGUAAUUUUAAAAGGGUUGAUCUUAGGCUAAUUAAGCUUGGGUCUUAGGCCCAAGAUGGAUGGGCCUAAGAUGGGCCAAGCUGGCCGGCCCAAUAGAAGCCCACAGAGGGGCUGUUGCCGGCCCAAGUGAGGCCCAAGAAGAGGAGUGGCCGGCCCAUUGCAUGGGUCUUGCCAAGUGGCAAGAAGAGCUUGCAUGCAUUGGCCAUUGGAGUGGCAAGUAAUCAUUACCAAUGAUGGAGAUUUUGGGGAAUAAAAGGAAGAGGAGGAGAGAGAGUGGCCGGUUGGUGGUAUUCGGCCAAGUGAGAAAGAGAGAGAGAGAGAGAGAGGGUUGCGAGAGAGAGAAGGGUGCCGAGAGGAGAGGAACUGAGGAGGAGGAGGAGCCGUCGCCGCCCGUUUGCAGCCGUCGCCGCCCGUUUGCCGCCCGUUUGCCGCCGUGUGCUCGUCGCUAGCUCGGUUUAGAGGCAAGUUAGGAUCCUCUUACUACUAUUGCAUAUGUGUGUUGCAUGUAUGUUUGGAGUAGUGUCGAAUUUUGGGCGAUUAGGAGGGAGAAACCGAAGCUAGAAUGACUUGUUCUUGUGUGAUGUUGCUGUUUUCGCAUGAACCGCCUGAGCCAGAAUCUCGUGAGAGCUUGCAUGCAUGUUUUGAGUUCGAUUUUGACUUUUAUUCCUUCAUGAAAGUUGUAGCCAACAUCUUAAACUACAACAUACUAAACGUUGGUGCAAAAUUGUGGAGAUUUAAGGGGUCAAACUCUCAUCCUACAGAGACACUAGAUCUGGAACUGUUUUGCUGACCUUGUGGUAGAUUUGUGGUUGCAUGUUGAUUUUUAUCAAGAAUCUCUCUUCGAAUUAUUCAUGAAACUUAUAGAGAACAUCUUAAAGAAUAACAUACUCAAAUUUGAAGUAAAAUGAACAAGUAUAUCCUAGUGAAUCGACUUACUCUUGAAGACGGUAAAUCUGGAGACGCGGUACUGGACACCCGAGACUUCAUGGACGUAUGUGGUGACUUUUCUUUAAAAAUUGGACUUAUAUCCCUUAAUGAAAGUUGUAGAGGACCACUUUAAGUAAAACAUAUCCAAAUUUCAGAGGAAAAGAAGAAGAAUAAGGGGGUAAAAACUCGGUAUUUCGGAGAUGACUACACUGGAUGUUUCGGUAUGAGAACCAGAAGCUUCGGACGACUAUAGGACAUUUUAUAAAACGAAUCUGGCCUAGAAGUAUUCAUGAAAAAUCUACUUUAGCGUCUUAAAUAUAACCUGGUAAAAUUUCAUAAUUUUCGGAGGUCAUUCAGGUAUUUUAAUCGAAUUAUUUCAAAAACUGCACAUUCUGUUUUUAUCCGAAAUUGCAUGCUGUAUUUGUGUAAAUUAUAUCUUUUGUGUGGAACUUUAUUGGCCAUGUGUUUUGCAUGAAAUAAUUAUCGUAUUGUCUUGUUUAUCACAUGCCUUAAUUUCAUGAUUUUUGGGAAUCAUAUGGAUAUUUAAUUUAAAUAUUUUCAAAAAUGGUACAAGCUGGAAUUUAAAUAAAUUUCAAAAAGGCAUGAUAAAUGAACUAUUUUAAAUUGUACGAAUUCCAUAAACUUUAUUUUUAUGAAUGAUUGCGUCUUGCUGCAUGUAUGAUGAUGACUGAUGAUGCAUGUAUAGAUCAAAGGAUGAAAGUGAUUUUGUUUGCCAUUACAUCAUGUGCCAUGCUGAGUUGAGACCUAAAUUGGUAAAUAUGAUCAAUGAUAAAUGAGGAAACUAUUUGUGGCGGAUGGUAAUGCCAUGGGAGUAUUAGGAUGCCCGGGAUGGGGGGUGCCGGAUGUCUGGAAUGUAUAGAGAUACAUGGCUGGAUGGCCUCGGGAGUUUCGAGAUGCCCGGAAUGGUUGGGUGCCGGAAGCCUCGGAGGUCUUUGCCCGAGGGGAUGCCUUGUGAUGCUAGUUGGGAUGUGAGAUGCCCUGAGUGUGGGGGUGUCGGAUGCCCGGUGGCCUUAAAUGGCUGGAUGCCAGAGGUUUUCUCGCGAUGCCAGGAUGGGGUGCGAGUGUAAAGUAUGGGAUGAAAUUGAUGAUCUUGAGAAAGAGUGAUGUGGUGAUCGAAUUGAAAAUUAAAAGUGGAAAUUGAAUCAUGCAUAUAUGACAUGAUAUGAUGAUGAUCACCUAUGGCAUGAUGAUAUGCAUAUAUGACAUGAUAUGAUGAUGAUCACCUAUGGCAUGAUGAUAUGCAUAUAUGAUAUGAUUGUGAUUAAGAUGUAUGAUGGUACAUGUAUGGCUUCAAGGUAAGUAUGCUUGGAUGCAUGAGUGACAUGUAUGAUGUUAUGAUUGUAUUGUAUGAUGCAUUGAGUGGUUAUUGGAUUCCUUUACCUGCUGAGUGGUUGUAUUCACCCAUUCGGGGACCAACAUUUCAGAUUAGUAGGAUGCCGCUCCCUGCUGUCACGCGGGGCGUAUUUUACGGCAUUCCUUCAGAUGUAGAGGUCGAGUGUGUGGAGAUCGACUGUCCCACCAUUCCUGGACUGACUUUUAUUCGAGUGCGCGCCUUCGUGAUGUACGACGUGGGCCUGGCUGGGGGCCUUGUCAUUCAGGAGUUUAUAUCCGUCCACGUUCGUCGAGACGGAGUGAUGCGUGGGAUGUUGCCGCCGCCAUCGCCUGAUGCACCGGGAUGGGUGUGAGGGCCCGUGCGUGAGGAGUAGGAGCUGCAACUUUUUGGGAUGUUAGCCGACACUAGCUGAUGGGAGAUCUUGCACGAUAGACAUAGUGGGUCGAGUGUUUCUUUUUGGGGUUGUGGCCGAGUGUAGUUAAAAAUCUUGGCCUUUCUUUUGUUGUAUCGACCCAAGAAAAAAAUCCAUCAUGAAAAUAUGUAAAUAAAAGUGUCUGGGCUCUAUCUUUUCUGAUGAUGUUUAGUGGUGUGCAAUUGCAUCAUGGUUGUUGGAGGGAGAGAUGGCGAUAUUAUAUUUUGCUUCCGCUAAUGAGUCGCGCUGGGACCGUUUCUUUUUAAAAAAAAAUGUAUGUCUAUGAUUUACGACGCUUCUUCUGAGAGAUGUAGCUAGUGUUCCAUUAGGUGUAACGUCAAGUGCCUGUGGCGACCCUAGGUGGUUCGGGGUGUCACAACACGUCCCAUACUAUGCCACACAAUUUUGUCCCAUAAUCCGGCGCAUUCAACUCAAUUAAACAUGCGUUCCUAGUUUUGAUCUCGGCAUAUAGCACGGCCUACUCUCUGUUCGGUGGUCUUCUGGCAUUGCUAGGCUUCGUCUCAUCCAUUGAGCAUGGCACGUCUCUUUCAGACGGCUUUCCUGAAGGAGCAUAGGGUUCAGAAUCUACUGCAACCGGCUUUACGUUGUCUAGGGGUAUCCCAAAUAGGGAUAACGUCCAGCUUAACAGCCUGGGACGAUUUCUCUUAACCAUCACACAAUUACUCAAAUAUGGCUCAGGGCACCGUGCAUUGCACUCAAAUACUUCAAUUAAAAUGGUGAACCUGGCAUUUUUCUUUAUAUUAGAAAUAAAUUGUAAACUAGUUGUGUGUGAGUACAUGGUCAACUUGAUCUAGAAAAAUCGACAUUCUUCCUUUUUAAAAUCCCACUAUUUUAUAUAAUACUAAAACUAUUUUCGGUGUCUAAACUCGACACUGGGAAUUUUCUGAAUAAAUAUUGGAAAUUCACAAAUUUGUAGAAAUGAACACUCAAUUGGAAAAAGUAACCACACCAUUGCAAUUAGCACGAAAUUCUGGUCAUCGGUUAUCCCGCUUUAAUUUCCAGAAAAUAUUUAAUAAUUAAAUAGUACUGAAAUUAAUUAAAUAAAUCAAUUUAAAUUCUAAAAAUACUAACCUAGGCUAGAAUCACUAAAUUAAAAAAUCGAUAUGGACCCAGAAAAUUCUCGAACCCUUCUAGAUAAAUAGCACAUCCUAUCUAGGCCUUGAUUAAUUUAAUCUAACCACCUAACAUGCACAAUUAACUAAUUAAAUCACUAAUUUAAUCUAACUAACCACAUAAUUCCUAAUUAAAUUAAACUAAACACCCCUUAGACGUCAUUAGCCUACUAAGAAGAGUUUAGUGCAUAAACUCACUAGUUUAUUGCGGAAAUUGGUUCACCGCGAUGACGACGCAACGGCAGCUGAAAUCCGAAUUUUCGGCAAUGUUGACGGACACAUGGACUAGGCCUAAAAGGCCUUGCAAGCCCACAGCAAAAUGUUGGGCUUGGCUUCGGGCUUGGGCUGCUUCGUGGGCCUCAAAUGGGCUGAUCUGGGUUUGAAGGUUUCGCUAGGCUGAGCGAAAUUUGCUUGGGCUCGUGGAUGGGCCCAACUGUUGGGCCGUGAACCUUCGCUGGAUCCGUGGACUGCUGCAGGUUGCUGAUCGUGGCUGAAGACGUUGGGGGAUGGGCCGUGAAGACACGUGGAGCUGCAGCUUGAAUGGGCCGAAGAUGCUGGACUCCACGGCUUGGCUGAUCCACGAGCGAAGACGGUUGGUUGACCAAGGGCGGGUGGAUUUGCUGGCAGCUGAAGAUGGAGACGCGAGCCACGGAGUUGAAGACGACCAUGCAGACGAAGGGGACGCGGGACACAGAGCUGCUAGGAACGUGCGGACUUUUCUUGCAGAAGGCCGCGUGGAGCUUCGGUGGACGAUGCUGUUGACCGAAGGGAGACAAAGUUUGCUGGAGGGUGCUCGUGAGUGGGCUUGCUCGAUUCUUUUUGUGCGGCCAAAUUGAAGACUCGAAGGAGAGAGAGCAGGCGGUAGUGGGCGGUCAACUUCAGUGAGCUUGGGACUAAUUUGUUGACUGGUGGAGGCUGGGAAAUUGGCAAGUGGCAGCAGUAAGAGAGAUGGAUUCGGUGGGCUGAAGCUUGGAACAAAAUGGAAGAGAGGGCUGAGCUUCGACGGUUAGAAUGAAGAAAAGCAGAAGUGUUCGAGCGUGCGGAAGAAGAUGGGCAGAAUGGGACGAUCGGCAGGAGCAAAGGAAGAAAAGUCCACAAGAAAUGUCUAAAAUCAUCAUAACUUAGCCUUUAAAGUCUUCAUGUUUAUCCUAUAGUCCCCUAAUUACUUUCUAGCAAUCUAAUUUCCAUGAAUUAACAAACUUUGAAGCCAAAAAUUUCUUCCCCUCGCAAAACUCCGAAUUUUCAUUUUUUGUCUUCAAUUUCUUUGAAAUUUUCUCCAAUUGGUAUCCAAAUUUGAUGUAGAAAAAGCCCACAUAAUUUCUACAAGUCCCCUUUGUUGGACGCAAAUUGCGCAACCCCAAGAUCUCAAUAACCAGAACAAGAACAUGCCUAAUUAAGUAGAAAGAUUAACGCACCUGUUUUGGGAUCCAUCGAACAUAAAGCGAAAGCAGAAAAGUGAUUACUCACAUAUAUCAAGGGGAUCCACGCAUCAAGUCCUUCUCCUCUAUUGCCCUCUGUAUCACUGGCUCAAUGAGGCGGCCCCCCCUCACGUUCAGCGUUAGGUAAACGCCCCUUAGGUGAGGAUACAUGUGAAAAUUCAGGUUAGAGGAGAGAUUUGAGCACUAUUUAUAGAGUUUCCAGCCAGUCCCUCUCAUUACGGGCCAGGCUCAACUCGGCCCACACUAGCCAGCCCAUAUUAGACUAAUUAAGAAACCUUCUAUCUCACCUUAGACUAAUCCUGUUUUACGGUAACCGUAAAAACAGUAAAUUACAAUAUCAAUUAAUUUAGUCAACAUUAGGAAAACUCUUACAUUCUCCCACUUGGACUAUAUUAAUUGAAAUCAUACUGUAUGUGCGCACAUUUGGUCUAGAAAUAAUUCUUAAUAGUCAAUCCUAUCCCAUAAAGUCUUAAACACCGAAUCAUGGCGGUAACUGCAUGUAUACACACAUAGCCUUCCAUGGACACAAGUGCUCUCAACUUUAUUGAUAUGGAUUUAAUAUGGUAGUGUGUCAAAUGAAUAACAUCUCUCAUAGAGAGAUCUCAUUUGUUAGUCACCAUUCUCUUACCUUAGGUGUCACAAAAACUUGUGCCACUAGAGAAUGCUUUAUGGUUCUAAUGAACCCACAUAUGUCUUAUCCUUAUGGUUAACCUUUCUUUAUGUAUCACAAGACAUAUGCACAAGGUUAAUAACCGGAUGCCCGGAUGCCCCUAGCCUUCACUCAAGGUUUAUACAAUCCCUUGAGACUUUAUUAAUAUGUAUUCAACAUAAUAACAAUACAUUCAAAAAUAUUUUAUUGAAUGCAAAAGUUGAUACAUAUCAAACCGUUACAAAGUGUAACGAACACAUAUGAAACUUUUAUCAAAGUAAAGCCAAAAUAGCUCCCACUAAAUAACAGUAUCCAAAAAAACUCCUAGGCCCAUGCUAAUGACAUGUCACUCAAAUAUACAUGGGCGUAGGCCUUUAGUUAGUGGAUCUGCAACCAUAUCAUCUGUGAAAAUAUGUUAUAUUAUAAGUCACCUUUCUGUACCGUUUCUUUAUGGUAAAAAAUAUUUGACCACCAUAUAUUUAGACCCCUUUAGACCUCUGUAAUAAAUAUAUAUAUUACUUCAAAUUUGUUAUCUCAAUACAAACGUAUGGGUCUAUUCAUCAAGUUAAAACAAUCAACUCCGUCAUGAGGUUCUGGAGCCUAAUAGCCCAAGUAACAAUCUAAAAGAAUGUUAUCAACACUGUAUACAUAGUAGAAGAUAACAUAGAACUUUAUUUACUGCACUUCCUACUAACAUAAAUUUGUAUCUUGUUAUUGAUAUUAUAUCAUCCUAACAGCCAGCAAAGUUAACAUAUGAAUACCUUACUCACUGCAAAAAUUAAACUUGUCUGUAAAUUAACAUAUAUUCUCUUGUCCUUUUAAGUACUUUAAAACCUUUUGGCAGCAACUCAGAUCGCGUCCUGGAUUCAACUUAUAUAUGCCUAAAAGUCCCAUCGCAAAGGCGAUAUUUAAUCUAGUGCAAAAUCAAAGCAUACAUUAUACUGUUAAGUGCACUGACACAAGGUACACUAUUUAAUUAGAUUUUCUCAAUAUCUAAAUAAGGACAAUGUGAUAGAUUUAGUCCAUCACCCUUAACAACAGGAGCAAUUCCCGGCUUGCAAUGAUGUAUAUUGAAUAUUUCCAAUAUAUAAUAAGCAAAUGUCCUCCAAGAAAAUCUAAUAUAAUAUGGCAAAAACAAUCCUUACAUACCUCAGUACAAAGGAUAUAAGAUGUCUCAAGGUCACAAAUUGUAAGCAAAAUAUCAUGUAUAUAGAGUAUGAGAAAAAACAAAUUUCCUCCCAUUGACCUUGUAGUAUAUUGAAUUGCUUUGUUCCUAAUUGAACAAGAUAACAAUACUAUAAAACUUUAAUAAUAUUGUUUGGAAACUUGCUUAAGGCCAUGAAUUAGAACUUUUCAGUCUAUACACAAGUUUACUUGAAUCUGCUGCAAAAUCAUCCAAUUGGACAAUAUAGAUUUUGUAUCUAUUUGGCAUAACUUUAUAUCAAAAUAAAUUAUCAAUGACACGUUCACUCUGAAAGAAUAUUUAAAGAAAUAAUUAUUUCUUCACUAUAAACAAUACACCCCUAUUUCAGAGUGAAAACAUUAUUAUCUUUUUUUUUCUAUGGCAUUUUAUCACAUACUUAAUUGAGAACAAGAAACAACAUUUAUAUAAGUUGCUAAAACAACCAUGUCGUAGAUAUUGUAAUCAUGCUUUCACAAAUAGACUAUAUAGUAUGAUGAUAUAACUGAUCGUCUUUCCCUAACAAAUCUCCUUAAUAAAGCUGCAACCACUUUAUUCUGCACUUGAGAGGUUUAAGAAAAUUUCAUUAUAAACUAUAUCAAAAAUAGUACCUUAAACCUCAACAAGUUUAGUCUAUGGUAUAGGAAAUUCAAUAAUUGUCUAUACCACAAUUAUCUGUAUAGGCAAAGAUAAAGACACAGUGAUUUUCCAUCGUACUAUUAUUCUUAAUAGUCUAAGAGCAGCUAUCAUAUACAAUUACGUUGAACUGCAUAAACUUUACAGUAUGUGAUUCCAUAAUACUUGUACCUUCUUUAGGGUCAUAAAAUUGAUACUCCUUUGAACAAUCUGAAUAAGAUACAAAAUAAUUCCAAGUGGAUCUAAAUUCCAACACACUUAAUAUUGAAUUAGAUAACCUCACUUCUGCAUGAUACUUCUAAAUUUCAUAUGAUUCAAGUAAUUUAUGUCCAAUCUAUAACUUAAAAGAAGUUUAUGAAACAACUUUGAUAAAAUACACAUUUUGUAUGUGAAAAAAUUGCUUUCAUAAUAUCAGUCCACAAAAAACCAGAUAAAUUAGUCUUACUAAUCAUACUCAUCACCAUGUUCAAUAUGGUGCAUUUAUGCCUUUCGGCCAAGUCUUUUUGUCAGAAUUUUCGGGUAUAGUAAUUAAAUUACCACUCUAGAAUCUACCAAGUAUUUGACAAAUGACCCUUUAAGCUAUUUCGCAUCGUCAUACUUGCCAAAAUACUCAUGGCCACUGUUAAACCUGACAACCAUUUAAGACUAAUUGUAAUUGUUUUAUUCUUUAUCUCGGUCAUUUUCCUUAAAUAGAAAACUUUCGGAAACAAUCUUUUAAUCAUAUACGAGAUGUAUAUGUCAUUAGGACUUAAACACAAUCUUUACAGAUGUGUCCUAAUUUCAAUAUCAGACAAGACAUAAUUUUAAGCAACUAAGGCUUCCAUCAUCUUCUAGCAGUGUAGUCCGCAGGCAAACCUCUUUUCAAGUGUUCCAGAAUGGAACGCUUCAUGAACAGUAAGCAAAUUCAAUUGCUCUUUUCUCAAGCAACAAAUCAUAUGUUCACAACUUAAAAUUUGAAGCAGUAAAAACCUCAAUAAUAAUGAAGUUAUUAAUUACAGAAAAUGUAACUGAAAAUCAAACAAUGUAUAUAAUUAGCAUCAUGUGAGUACUGUGUAACUUGACGUACAAGUACACAUCCAGAGAGUUACAUGCAUAAUCAUAUAAUCACCUUUGGUAGAAUACAUGACAUGCAGUUGUACACUCCCCACAUGAUAGCGGUUAUAAGAAUAUAUUCCAAUUCUUCGUGAAUUCAUCACCUUUGGGCAUAUGAAUCACUAGAAUCAGUCACUCCUCCACCACACUAUCAUGUAUCCCUCCAUGAACUAAUACACAAUCACCUCCUUUGGGAGUAUGACUACGAAUUAGAUCAAGAGACAUCCCAAUCAUUAUAUGAGACCGAAAUUUCUCAAACCCAAUCAAGUGUGCCACUUUGGCGGUCACUACUCAAUUGAAUCAUUAAAAUUCUCUCAUACUAGGGAUAUAAACUUUACUUAUCACAUACACCAUAUAUAUGUGAUUUUAACUUUAAUGAUAGGGGCAUCAUAUCACCAAAAUCACAUAUCAUACUAAUUACACUACUUUAUUCAUUAAUAAAAUUAAUCAUAUAUAUAUACAGCGAACCUGAAAGGUAGAUUCCAAUGAGAUCAUUGAUCACAGUAACACAAGAAACUUCUCAUAACAGAGAAUAAAACAUCUCUUAUGUACCCCAAUUACAUAUUACCAGAACAACAUAAAAAGAAUGUUGACCUAAAAUAUCUCUCACAAAUUAACAUCAAUAGUAAUACAUGGUACACCAAAUCGACAAGCUUGACAGCUAUUAUCACUCAUGAGUUCAUAAGGCAAAAAUGACUCCAAGGCCAACAACUAAUUUAUUAAUCAAUUUUAGGUAACAAAUAUCAUUACUUCAACCGGUGGCCUAUAAAUUAAGUCAAACAACAGAACUAAAUAUCUAAACUAUAACAGUAGAUACUAUUGCUCUGCAUAAAUAUUGUCAUACUCCUUAACCAUAAAAAUAUUCAACUUGAUAGACAUUAACAAGUGACCAGAUGAGUUCAUGUACAAUAUGCAGUAACUUAAUCGACAUGCAUUACCCACAUACAGCAGAUAUGUUAAUCAGUACAAUCAGUUUGGUCACGAGUUCUUAAGACGUCCAUCAUUCAAAGAUUACCAGCGUGACUUGAGCAACAAAAGUUUUAUAAUCUUUACUGUUUCUCAUCAGCUCAAUACAUAGCUCAAUUACUAUUCCAUAAUGGUUAUAUCUCAUUAAGCCAGCUUCAGUUCACAAUAAAGUUUGAUUUUUAUUGAUGAAUCACACAUUUAUAAUGAUUAUGUGAUAAUAUACCAGUAACCCAACACUUGUAUUUCCAAAAUCACAGAAAAUACAAGAAAAAUACGCAAAAAUACACUAAAAAUACACGUAUUUAGGGCUUUGUAUGUAUUUUCACAUCCAUAAAAUAAUCAAACAUAUAAAAUAUAUAUACCACGAGAUAGGAAAUCACCAUACGAGUCCAACGCCGCCAACCACGCACCGAUCGGAGCCUCCACGCACCCACACGCGCCGCCUGAGUGCGCCGCCCGUGGAGCUCAUGUGCGGCGCGCAUUCGAUGCCCAGGCGGCGCGUGGCCUCGCGUGGGGGUGCGUGCGACGCACCACCUACCGUCUUGCUCGUCUCGUCGAGCCCAGUCCGAAUUUGUGAUUUUAUUUUAUUUUUAUUUAACAAAAAGUCUUGAAAAUCACAAAUUAGGGCAAAAACUUUAUGCGUUCAAGUUCUAGGGUUACGGUUGCUCUGAUACCACAUGUUGGACGCAAAUUGCGCAACCCCAAGAUCUCCAUAACUAGAACAAGAACAUGCAUAAUUGAGUAGAAAGAUUAACGCACCUGUUUUGGGAUCCAUCGAACAUAAAGCGGAAGCAGAAAAGGGAUUACCCAUAUAUAUCAAGGGGAUCCACUCAUCAAGUCCUUCUCCUCUAUUGCUCUCCAUAUCACUGGCUCAAUGAGGCAGCCCCCUCACGUUCAGCUUUAGGUAAAUGCCCCUUAGGUGAUGAUACAUGUGAGAAUUUGGGUUAGAGGAGAGACUUGAGCACUAUUUAUAGAGUUUCCAGCCAGUCCCUCUCAUUAUGGGCCAGGCUCAACUCGGCCCACACUAGCCAGCCCAUAUUAGACUAAUUAAGAAACCUUCUAUCUCACCUUAGACCAACUUUGUUUUACGGUAACCGUAAAAAUAGUAAAUUACAAUAUCAAUUAAUUUAGUCCACAUUAGGAAAACUCUUACACCCUUUGCCAUAUAGCUUGGUUUGCAAGUCAAAAAUCUUUUCAAUUCGGCCAAUCCGAAUUUCUGUUUGUUUUCCGAAACGUCCGAAUCGAUUUUUCGUAAAAAUCCCAAAAUCAUCGAAAAAUUUUCGGAGGAUGAGUCAUCGUUCCUAAAAUAGAUCGUGACAUCACAUAAUUUUCAAUUUCUAAAAUCGGAUUCAAAUUCGUGGUUAAUUUCAAUCUGGCGCACUUUUAGCGUGAGCUAAUCUCUGGAUAACUUUUAGGAAUUUUUGGUGAAAUUGACCUGUGAUCGAUUUAUUCUCGAGUCACAAAGUACAUUUUCGACUCAUUGGCGACUCUCGGUUAGCUUGAAAAUCUUGAGGUUUGAAUUACAGACACUAGGUACCAAAACGAUAGAAAAAUCGGUCUAGUGCCGAUCAACGAGUAUUUUGCAAUAAGGUGGAAUCACCCACACUCUGAUCACAUAUCUCAAUUGAAUCGACCUAUCUCUGGUCUCUAAUCGAUUUCUGACAGUGCCAUAAUGACUCUUGUAGACCAACACGGUCGAGCAGUCGAUUCCUGGUCGAAUUCUCAAGUCCAUUGUAUUUAGAUUCCUUAAUUAUUCCGCCAGAUAGUCCAGUUAUCUCAUGAGUGAUCAACUCAGAGAAUAACAUUAUCAGUGUGUCGAUGAAAUGCUUGAUUUAUUUAAUUGAAAACGAAAUCUGAAAAUUCAGGCUGUCACAAGGUCAAUCAUGCAUCCAUAGCUCUCACUAGUUGGAGUGAUGCUGUAACCUUUGCUCAUACGUCCGAACAAGCGCCAUGCUCCAUUAAUUAGACACUUCCGAUUGCAGACCAUUGGACCUCCAAUAAACGUCACAGCAUUUGGUUGGGGCCCCUAUUUUCCAUCUCGUAGAAAAACUGCAGCCCAGUUUCAUUCUCACCAUUGACAGAAAACCCCAACAUCAUUGCACUCCAAGUUGUCAAUAUCUUUAAGAGGCAUUUGGUCAAACACUUCUUUGCGCGAAUCCGACGAACCCACAUGUGACAAGAAAAUAAUCAAUGCAAUUCGUGGCCCAAGUUCGUAAACAAUGCCACUCUCAUCUAUGUACUUAUGAACCCAUUUUCCUUCUUUAGAGGCUUCCACAAUAGCACGGCACAAUAGCACGACGCUAAGUACGCUAGCCUAAAGAGAUCCACUUAAUUUAACCGCUCGUUCCUAACGUAGCUAGAGAUCAAGGCACUGUAGGAAACAUCAUUUUCCCUGGCACUGAAUCGAACAGCCCUCGAGCUUCCUACAUGAGGCCGAUGCUACAAUACCCAGUGAUAAGGCUCGUCCAGCAUUGAACUCUGAUCAGACAGGCGAUGAACAACACUCGCAGCCCAAUGCCUUUCGGCACAUGCUUAUCGGAGAACCCACCACGUAUGCAUCACAAUCUCGCCCGAACUUCAUAGCCCGGUGGCGAAGUUGGCCAAGCAAAGGAAGAGCGAGUGCCAUGGCCCGACCAGUGAAGUGGAAGUGUGGGCAUAUGGCGAGCUUAGACAGAGACCAGCCUUCCCACGUUCGAAGUACCCCCAAGAAACCCAUCAUCCCGACUCCCAAAUCGAAGACAAUGGCGGUGGGUGAGUGGGAACACGAGAGAAAAUGCGCGCCGCGUAGUUCAUGUGGCUGCAAACGGAAGCGAGAGAGGUCGGAGAUGAUGGCGUGGGUGGUCGGUCGAUGGUUGAGCAUCUUCGGAGAAGGUUGAGCGUGUGAUAUAUUUAUUCUAUAUAUGUCUUCUUCUUCUUUUUUUAAUAGAGAAAUUAUAUAUUAUAACCGUCCAUUUAACACCCCUAUUCUAUAUUUGUCUUUAAACAUUUUGGCUGUGUUCACAGCCAAUUUUAUUAUGGAAAUAGCGAGUUUCAAGAAAUUGAAACCUAAUAUGAUGGGAGAAUCAUUUUAUGCCAUUUAGAACACAAAGGGAAUAAAAAGUUAUCGUGAUUUAUUUCUUGAUCAGUCCGCCCACAAUCAACUUUGGUCACAAAAUAUAUCAUAUUUGAGCGUAAUAAUUAUUGAUCACACUUUGUAAGAGAAAACUGUAAUCCACGCGCAAUUGCAUGACGGAUCAAUCUACCAUAAUCAACUUUGCCCACUCAAAGUAUACCUUGAUAUAUACGAAUAUAGAUAUAAACAGAAUAAAACAUUUCCUAUAUAACCACAGUGGAGAAAGAAAUGAAACAAAAAAAAAGUUGAAGACGUUAGGACUGGGCUUCAAAAGAAACACUCACCAAGGAUUGAUGCUCCAUUCGUUUCGCAGAAAAUAACUUCCAGGAAAAUAUUUUCCGAAUUUUCCGGUGUUCGGAUGGCGGAAAAUACACGGUCAACGGAAAAUAUUUUCCGUUGACCGGAAAAUCCUUCUUGAAGUCACGGAAAAUGACUUCCUCUUUUCAAAAGAGGAAAUCAUUUUCCGCACCUCUCACGCGCUCCCGCUGCUCUCUCCUUCCUUCAUCAGUUCACGUUCUCUCUCUCUCUCUUUCUUGCUCUCCCUGCUGCAAUGGCUUUGACAACGUCCUUCUCCGGGAUCAGCCUCCGCCCUCCCCAGCCGCUCCUGCCCGCCUGCUCCGGCCGGGGCGCCGCCGCCGCCGCCGCGCUCCGCUUCCCCGGCAGCUCGAAGCCGCUCGUGAGGAUCCGGCUCAAGAGGGAGCACCGCGGCGACGCCGGGAGGCUCGCGGGGAGCCCGCCGUCCAGGCCGCUCGUCGUGCGGCCGCGAGCCGUGAGCUCGUCGGAUCGGCGGCGGAGCUCGCGGCUCGCCGGAUCUAGCGGCAGAGCUCGGGCUCUCGAUCCGGGUGAGCUCGAGCUUUGUCGCUAGAUCCGGCGCGCUCGGGUGAGAUCCGGUGAGCCUCGAGCUCGCCGGAUCUGGCGGCGGAGCUCGCGGCUCGCCGGAUCUAGCGGCAGAGCUCGGGCUCCCGAUCCGGGCGAGCUCGAGCUCUGUCGCCAGAUUCGGCGAGCUCGGGUGAGAUCGGCCGAGCCUCGAGCUCGCCGGAUCUGGCCACCGGGUCUUCGUCGGCUGCUGGGCAGCCGGCCAUCGUCAGGCAGGAAGGAGGCGGCGGCGGCGGAAGGAGGAGGAAGAAGGAGGAGGAAGGAGGUGACGGCGGACGAAGCUGCUCGGGAGGAAUCGGGAGGAAGAAGGCGGAGGAAGGAGGAAGGAAAAAAAAAGAAAUAAUAAAUAAUAAAAAUUUCUAUUUUAAAAAAUAUAAAUAAUUAAAAAAAAUCAUUUUUUAAAAAAUAUAAAUAAAUAAAAUAAAUUUUUUGGUCAAUUAAAAAUAUUAAAAUUCAAUUUUUGAUAAUUUUUUUCAGGAAAAUGUUUGAGCUAACGAACAGUGGAAAAUAUUUUCCACUCAAAUUUUAGAUUUUGGCCGAACACCGGAAAAUAAAGUCAUUUUCCUGGAAAACAACUUCCAGGAAAAUGUUUUCCGGAAACAUGAUAUUUUCCGUGAAACGAACGGAGCCUCAAUUUCUCGAGAGAAAUAGAGAGAGUCUAAUUGCGUAGAAUAAUAAAAUUGUAAACAUAAAAUAAAAUUUUUCAUUGGUCAUCAAACAAAAGAAAUACUAAUUUAAGAUUAAGUCUCAUUAAAAGAUAUGUUUGACCCAUGAAUUCUAUAUGCUCUUUUAAGUUAAAUGACUUUCAAAGGGUGAUUCUUGCACUUGUGAGCCCUUUUUAAAAUGAUAUAAACAUGUAUCGAUCAUCGUCAAUCCAAGAAAACGGCUGCGCUUUAAUAGAUUUUACAUCUUAUACCAUGUUGAAACCAACAUUUUUCCUUCUGGUUGUUGCUUCUCCAAAACGGCAUGUCCCUUUAAAGAGGAAGCAACUAAUUGUACUCAACAAUUUCUAGAUGCAUACCUCUAAAAGAGAAAUUGGUUUACGUCAAUAAAUCUUUCAAAUUCAAAUCUCGAGAGAACCAUCAAGGGAAAAAAAAAAUCGAUCAGGUCUGAAUGAUUUAGACUGCACCUAGAACUGAAUCGAUUAUCAAUGAUUCACUAGGAAUUGGACUAGUGCUCACCCCUAGAUAGUAUGUCUGAAUGUAAAGAAUUUGUGCAACCAACUAAGAUCUUUGGUUUUACGUACCAGUGAAAAUGAUUUUCCUGAAUAAGUCAAUUGAAAACUUUAGUUGUGGUUACAGAAAUUUCUAGGAAGAGUUUAACUAAGCGAUGCAAAUAUUUUUUAACUGAACACCGGUCGCGAAGGUCCAUAGGUGUAGAGAGCAAAGCUCAAGCCAUAUGUGUUCUUGUUUUCUUCAACUAGUUAAUUGAUAACCUUCUACCAUGUCUUUAUUCAUAUAAAAGAAAAUACUUUUAAUACCUUCGCUAAGAUUUCAAGCAAAGUUUAGAGUUCCAAGGCAUUGGAGUUUACUAUAUCUGUUUUUGUUCAAGAAUCUAGCCUUGCGCAAAAAUAGAAUUCCGAGAAUACAACCCUUUCGAUGUCUUGCCGAAAUAAUUCAUGCUUAGCACAUCAACAAACACAAUAAAGUGAUCCAAAUGCUGCAUCUUCUCGAUAGUCUCUUUUAUGUGCAUUCUCGAUAGCGUUGACUUAUGUGCAUUCAUCACUACGUGAAAAGAAUAAAAGAAACUUUUGAGCUCUAGUCGAGCUCUCGUUUUUACUCGAACCAGUCACAUGCCAAUAAUAAAAACAAGGCAAAAAUCAAAUUGCAGAGAGGACGAGCAGUUAGUAGUUUCUCUUCCACAAUGGUCCAGAGGAACUCUGCUGCUUCUCUGUGCGCCGUAUUGCCGGGGUACCCUUGGAUCUAUAACCACCUGAUCAACAGCUUCCGAUGAAUUCUCCACAGGUGGCUUAAGAGGCCAAAAAUUUCCAUUCCUAGGGAUUAAAGAUGCUGGAAAAUUCCCGUCAUGGCGCCAUCCCUGACCUCGGUUCUGUGUGCUUGUCUGUCAAUCUAUGCCUUGACCCACUUGACCUCAACCCCUCAAGUUUAAAGGAGUCUUACCUGGUAGGGGAGCAAGAAUUAGUCCUUAGGUAUCAAGAACUCUUUGGGGACAGAAUCCAUGUCCACGUAACAAUUUUUGGCUUUAGCAUCAGCACUCCGCACAGCCCAGUCAUCAGACUGAAUCAAAGGUUUGUGUUUCCCAUUACCUAAUAAGAGUAAAAGACACUAAAACAAUCACAAUCUAUCCUUGUAAGUGACAAAUAAACAGGACACAGAGUUGGCCAUAAAGACAAAGGUAUACAACAGGGCUGAUGAAACCAUACCUUAGAUGCUCCUAUAUACCGAGUAAACAUGGGUGUCGUGUGGUAAGAGACAGAACCACCUCAGUGGGAUUCCCGACCAUAUGUAAUAUCACAAAUUAAGGUCUAAGCAAUGGCUCUCUGUAACAUAUUUAAUCAUGUUACUUGACCAGUCUCACUAUCGAUUAGGCGUUCUUGGUAAUAGUAAUUGGAAGGGACAUCAUGGAUUUGUUAAUGUAUCCUAUACUGAACAGACAACAACAUUGUUGCGGAAUCCAGCUUGCUGAAACAGCAACAGAAACAUCGAGUAGCACCAAGAGAAACGGAAGGAAGAACUGCCACUUGAUUGGCCUGCAAUGCCUCAUCAAUGACUGCCAUUUCGAAACCAUGAGAAAGGCGAGAGAAUAAAUUUCUACCACUGCUUGACAGGGUAGUGAAGACAAUCUCAGCUUCAUAUGAGAUCCAUUUUUCAAAGAAGCAGAAACAUUUUCUUGAACUAUGUGAUGUGAUUUGCAUAUGGAUUGAUGGAUCUAAAUUGCCAAUCAAGCAUUGAUGCUACGCUUAGUAUCAUAUAGGAAUAAAUUGACUCAUCUGAAUUCUCAUCGUUGAAUCAUGCUACAUUUUUCAUACUACCUAGCAGAAUUCCACUUCGCUUUUAAUAACCCUUGAUGACAGAAAUGCAAUGCAACUCAUGCAUACAUAUGAUUAGCAUUACAUUGAUCAAAUUUUGGUUCUUCGAAAACCCCAACUCUCUGUACCAUCCCCACCACGACACUCAAGAGGGAAUGUGACAUCCUGAAAUUCGAGCUCUUUGUGAGAGAAAUGAAUGUGAAUUUUGCCAAUGCAUUGUUGGUUGAUCUCACUCGGAAUUGAUUACUCCUGAGAUACUAACCUUGAGGGGAAAGGCUAAUGAGGACAGAACUCGUACGACUAAAUAACUUGACUUGGGAAAACGACUUGACCGUGAGACUUGCGUGAGAACGAUCCUGUAGAUAGGCAGGCUAAUUUCAAGGAUGACUAGAAGUCGAUUUGCGAACAUAACAUAAUGGAACGACGGGUGAUUCCGUUUACUGUUAUUGAGCUCGUGAACGACCCUAUCUCGAUCCUUAAUAAUCGUAUACUUUGAAAUAAGAAUCUAUCAUCCGCAAUUUCAUGUAGUCAAGGACGUCCAUGUGUCGAGAUGUCUUGAACGUGGUUUGGCACGAGUCGGUUACGCGUGAAUCCUCAAAGUUGCCCGUUAGUAUGAGUUGUACCCAAAAUGGCAUUGGACGAAAUUGACAUGGCAUGAGAACUAAAGAUUGGACUUCGAAUUAUCGGUAAUGUUUGGAUGGACUUUGGAUGAUGCGACUUCGAUAGUCAACAGUGCCAAGCAAGCCGAGUGUGGAGAAAAAAGACUUGAGAACCGAGAAGGCAAACCUAUGAGGACGUGGGCCGAGUAAAGCCAGUGUGGGCCUUACGCCCAACGUAGGAUAGCCAUGGUGGGCCUAGGGCAAGAAAGUGAGCCCAUUGGGCCAAAAACCACUAUUCCUCCUUCCAAGCCCAUUACCAAACCUUAAGCCCAUUUGAGCCCAACCAAUUCUUGAGCCUGUUACUAUUCAUUUCCAAGCCCAUUUCUUAGGCCCGCCCAUCAAAUUCGGCCCAAGGGAAAAUUGGGAAUUUGUGCAAGGGGAAAUUACCAUUUUGCCCCUAAAAGCAAGUGGAUAAAGGCAAAACAAGAGAGAGAAAGAUGAGGUGAUGUGCAUGGGGAUUUGGGGCUUUGAUGAGGUUUGACAGCAGUUCAAUCCUCUCUCUCUCUCCUCCUCCUUCAGCCCAAAUUGUCGAGCUCCUCUCUCCCUUUGUUCCACCUUUCUUCUUGCUUCUGUUCUAGCAAACCUUCCUCCAAAGAUUUGAGUUGAUUGUUGGCUUUCAGGACGAAUCAACUCCCGUGCCACCCACCACUGUGUCAAGGACACCUAGACCAUCUGCCUGGAGUUGACUGUUUGCCAGUCGGAGCCGUCGUUUAACCCGCCGGUUGGCCAGAAGCCAAUGCUAGUCCGACUGUCUAGUCAUGUUCUGCUCCAGUUGACCUUUCUUCGAAAACCCAAGUUAAAAGUUACAUUCCCGUGCGAAUUAGCUCACACUCCACCCACCACCGUGACCGGCACAUCUAGACCGUAUCGAAACACCCCCGCCGCUCGUCGGAACGAUCUGCCAACCAUCCCGUUUGCCGGACCGCCUGGUUCCGCUUGUUUCACCUUUGCAGCUCGUUUUCUCCCAUUCUGACCCUUCCUCCACUCAUCCCAACCUCUAGCAACUCCCCCUUGACCCCUAGGUUCCGCCGGUUGCCGGCCAACCCCUUGCCGGAGCUCCGAUGAAGCCGUUUCACUCAUUUUCCUCCUCUGCUGUUCGGUUUCUUGGAAUUGCUGAGGGAGUUCGAGCUUGUGGCUGUUGUUUUAGCCUUGGGACCACCUUGGAUCGUUGUUGUUGACGUCUCGGUGCAUCGCCUCCGACGUUGUCGCCGCGUGCGUGUCUUCGGCACGUUUAACGGGUGAGUGUAGCUCCUAAACCUCAGUUUAGUGCCUAAACUUGCUUAGGGUUGGUUUAAUUAGUGGUAAUUCUAGUUUAGAAGAUUUAAUUGAGUUAUAUUAGUCCUAAUAUAGGUGGUUAGAUUAGUGGCUAAGAUUAGUUUAGUUUAAUUUUACUUUAUUGGCUUAAAUGUGGUUUAUGUGCUUAAUUAGGCUUGUUUAACCUUAAUGGAUUAAUUGCUUGUUUAAAUUAGUGUUUUUAAUGAAUUUUGGAUUUAAUUUAUUAAUUAUUAAAUUUUGGAAUAUAUUGUUCACGACACAAUUCACACGCACUGUACAUGAAACACUGUUUAUGCGCACUGUUCAUGCGCACUAUUCACACGAGAAUGAAAAGUGUCUAAUUGCAUGUAUUUUAAUCGCAUGUAUUUUAAUCAUAUGAUGUGAUUUGAGUAUAUACAUGCAUGAGCAUCAGUAUCAAUUGAGUGAAUUUCACAAAAAAGGAAUAAUGGAUUGUCUGAGGGACAUUAGAGAUGGACCGUUUUUAUGAGAGAAGGAUUUGAGGAGGCAUGUUCGCAUGAUCAAAUGUUGGACCCUCACCCAACGGGAGUUUGGGGACCGAUGUUCCUUUUGGGAAAACUGUCUGAACGGGAGUUCGAGAUGUAGCCGUGCCCGACGAGGCAGGAUGAAGCUCGAUCUUUUUAUCGGUAGUCGUUGGGAGUUGGAUGAUCGCUAAUUGGAAAGUUAGCAAUGGCCGGGAGGUUAUUAAUAACUAGAGCACGCAUGAGUGUUGAGGUGGAUGAGCACUAAUCGGAAAGUUAGUUAUGGCCAGUAAGUCAUUAGUAACUUGAGUACUCGUGAGAGUUGUGUUGGUUGGGCCUUACUAUGGGGUAAAAUUGUGUAGCGCGGUAUGAGACGUGUCAUAACGAUUUUACCUUAUAAUCAGGACCUGUGUGAUUGAUUGAUGCACGAUAGGUGGCGCACUAAAGUGCAAGAACGUAUGAGAAUCAUGACAUCAUUAGUUUCGGUUAUAUAUGUUGAUCACAUUGUUUAUGGCACGCACGCAUGAAUCAAUAACAUGCAAGGUGUGGCAAUGGCCAAGUGAGAUUGCUUGUGAUGCGACUCAUAUGUGAUUGAUGAACUGCAUCAUCUAACGGCCAAGUGCAUUGCGUGUUUUGUGCUGAGAUUCAACGUGCACGGUAUGGCAUACCAGGUAAGGUUGCAUGCAAACCGACUAUGUAGUUAGUGGUUACCCUAGUUGUUGUGAUUUGUUGAUUGUUGGUUGUCAGUUGUGGUUGGUUUGUGGGGUGGUUCUGGAGAGAUACCCUGAGUUGAGUUGGUGUUCUAAUCGAGGGCUUAAGGGAUUUCAGGUUCUUAGGAUGGCACUUCCGCCAAUGAGGUUCAGUAUCCCUAAGGACUGGGAUACUUUGUGACGCGCCACCGCUUCUCGGGUCGAGCAUACCUGUACGAGAAGUAUCUCACUACCAUCUGGGUGGAUGAGGGACCAAGGCAAUGGACACCGCUUCCCAGGUCGAGCAUACCUGUACAAGAAGUAUCUCACUACCAUCUGGGUGGAUGAGGAACCAGGGCAAUGGAUACCCCAUAGGUUCUUGGCAUGAUUCAUCUGGAAUGGAGAUAUGUUAUUCGGUCCUCUGCAAGGUUUUGACAGGCCACUUGGUAGGGGCCUUGAGGACGAUGAUUAGGAUCUCAUGGAGCUGGACCCUCCUGACAGCACAGUGGAGAAUCCUGGCCUCGCUUCACCAGCAUCAGACCCGUGUGGCUCCAACUAUGAAUCGACGGGGUCUAAGUCCUUUGGAUCCGAGUGACGGUAGGAUCGAGCCCGAGAGUUCUUUUUGGUGUAUAGAUUGGGUUAGCCUAGACUAGUCUCUUUUUGGUCUAGCUUAGAGGAUGGAUCGGCCCCUCUGUUGGGCUUGUAAAUUAGAAAUGAUCCUCCGUAGGUUAAUCCAAUAUGAAAAUGUAAAAUGUGUAUAUAUGAGUAGAGGUUGUAUUUCUGCUGUUCAUCUCACUAUCCCUAUUUGAUUGCUUGAUUGUCUGUUGAUGAGGAGAUGGUUCGUUUUCCGCUUGCGCAUAAUGAAAGAUUAAAAAUGAAAGGGGUAGCGAUGAGUCCUGGGACAUCGCUUUCUAUCGACCAAGGAAGGGAUUGUUGCGUGCCCGGGGUUCGGGAUGUGACAGGAAAGCAACUCACGAGUGUUGAUUAGCACAAACUAUCAUCUUCCCAAUUGCGUGCGACACAACUUACUCCGGCAGAAGAGACCGAAGAGGGAUAGAUGAACUGUGCAGUGGACUAAGAGGGGGCGUAAAACCACCGCCAGAGAAAGCAGCGGCGGUGCCCUCGAAUUGGCUUCCAAAUGUGGCCAUCUUCUCUGUUUUGUUUCCCUUUUUAUUUUUUUUUCACUUGAUCAAGAGGGAAUUGUUUCCAUUGUUGGUUCAUUCGAUCCUCGGAUUUUUUUUUUCCUGUUAUGGAGCUUCUUUUUCCGUCUGUUUCUCGAUGUACUUCCAUAAGAUUCCACGAAAGAUUUCCUGGGUUUUCUCGUGCUUGGGUUUCAACGUUACUCGCGAAAUCUUGUUCAACCCACUCUUGGUAGCAACAACACAGAGAAGAUAGUCUAUUGCGGAUACAGUUUGAGGCUAAAGACAAGAAAUUCCGAUUUUUUAGGCCCACCGACCGCUGUCUUUAAUUUCUCGGUCAAGUGGCACCAUUUGCUAGUUUUCGUUGAUCAAAAUCAAUUUUGAGUUGUUUAACUGGACACAUCCACUUCUAAUGCUCAAUUUUGUGGGCAAACAUCACAAAAAAUCUCAUACUAUUCGCACUGUGGCAUAAAUACCCAAAGCUUUUUAUUUUUAUUUUUUAUAUAUAUCACAAAAAGUUAAUAAACUUGCCCACUGUGACACAAAUACUUCUGACUUUUUUUCGUGUCACAAACAAAUCCAAUGUAUAUAUAAAUAUUUUAUAUUUCAGUUCUAUUCAGAGUAUAUUUGUCACAAUUGGCAAGUUUAGGAUUUCUACUAAUAAAAAAAAAUUAGGGUAUUUGUGUCAUGGUUGGUAUAAUUUGAGUUUUCUGAGGUAUUCAUCCUUAUUUAUUUAUUUAUUUAUAAGCAAUGCUUUAUUUGCUUUUUUGAGCAUGGGUUUUUUAUUCAAUCAUGUGAUUGAGAUGCGUUUGUUUUUAUUUAUUAAUAUAACUGAAAAAAAAUAUUUGAUCACGGAUGCUGAGAGAAAGUGUGCGUGCCCACUCUAGCAUUAUUAAUCCUUGUUAGUUGAUAUCUAGCCUUAAUCAUGUAAUAAAAAUUGCGAAUAAAGUGUGGGGCAGUGAGAGUACUUUGUGUUAUAUAUAGAGUGGUUAGGAUUUGGUUUUAUACACCUAAUCUAGUGCCUUGUCUGAUAGUGUAAAUGAAAGUUCCACGUUAAACACGUGCAUUUGAACACAGCCAAAAAAAUAGAUGAUGAGUACACAUACAAGUAUCUUGACGUUGUAGCUAUAAACGAGUAAAGAAUUCAACAUAUGGGCUUGAGGUUUCAUGCUCUUGACGUUGUGACUCUCAUGUGCUAAUAAAUGUCCACCAAAUGGUUCAUUGACUUGAUACUACACACCUAACUAAAGCAACAUAUCUUUCUCCAUCCCUACUAAAGCCAGACCUCCAUUAGAGAAUUGCAAAUAAGGAUAAAACCCAUUUGUAAAUUUAACUAAGUUGAAAUUUUUGCGAUGUCAAAUUAUAAUUGGAUCUUCUAAUUAGGGACGGAGGAAAUAACAUGGCCCUUAACUAAAUAUUUUUUAUUUUUUGACAAAAAAAAAGCUAAACAAUUUUUGUUCAUGUGCAUGUUCAAAGUUCAAAGAAAAAGAAGAUUUAAUUGGAUCAAUAUACCAAUUUUCACUAAUAAAUAAAAAAUUCAGAAGAAGCCGUUCAGGUGGAGUCUAAAAGUGAUUUAUUUAUUUUUCCUACUAUGAGGAGCAUCUCCAUUUAAUGUAUAAAUUGUAAGAGACACCCAGCACCAUCUUCAUGUUCUUUAUUUAGACACCCAACCAUUCACUCCAACCAACCUCCUCCUCCACCUACGCCACCACUACCACCACCAUCACCACGCAACGCACCGCGGCCGCGGCCGCCACCAUGCAACCCUCUCAACCUCCUCCUCUCAAUGAAAAUUACUUGCGAGACGACGUCAAGUCGCAAGAAUGCGAAGACUUGCACUCCUCUCUCCCUUCGGAAGAAGACUGGGUCCCCACCUCUCUCCCUUCGGAAGAGGACUGUGUCCCCUCCACUCUCCGCUUGUACCAGGGCUUCUGGUUCCCCUCUUGGGUCUUGAACAGCGUCGUCGCUUGCCAAAAUCACUUCCAAGCUCACCCCUCCGACAUCCUCCUCGUCACCAGCCCGAAAUGUGGCACCACCUGGCUAAAGGCCAUCCUCUUCGCUCUCUUGAACCGUGCCAAGUACUCUGACUCCAACUCACAAAAACGCCACCCUCUCCUAACCCAAAACCCCCACGACCUCGUGCCCUUCUUGGAGUUCAGGCUCUAUCUCCAGAAUAAAAAUCCUGAUCUCACUGCUUUUGCAUCCCCGAGGCUCUUGGCCACCCACUUGCCUUAUUCCUCUCUUCCACGGUCGGUGAGGGACUCCAAUUGCAAGCUGGUUUACUUAUGUAGGAACCCUAAAGACACUUUCAUCUCGAUGUGGCACUACUUCAACAAGUUCAGGCCCGAAGAGAAGGGCCAGCUUCCACUCCCGGAGGGCCUCGACAAGUUCUGCCGAGGUGUGAACUGGUGUGGGCCUUAUUGGGACCAUGUGCUGGGUUACCACAAGGCGAGCUCGGAGAUGCCCGAGAAGGUUUUGUUUGUGAAGUAUGAGGAGAUGAAAGCGGACCCGAGCGUUCAAGUGAGGAGGUUGGCCGAUUUCAUGGGGCGUCCAUUCAGCGAAGAAGAACUGAGAAACGGGACCGUGGAGGGAAUAUUGAGGAUGUGUAGCUUUGACAAUUUGAGUGCACUGGAGGUGAAUAGGAGCGGCAAGUUGCCAUCUGGACUAGAGAAGAAGUGGUUCUUCAGGAAAGGCGAGGUUGGAGAUUGGGUGAAUUACAUGAGCGCUGAAAUGGGAGAGCAAAUUGACGGUGUCAUGGAAGAAAAGUUGCAUGGUUCUGGUUUGAAGUUUUAGGACAUAUGACCCACUCGAAGAUGUUUGGUUUGAUGGUGGAAAAGAAAAAUGUGUGUAAAAAGAAGAAAAAAGAAGCAAAAACGAUUCGACUCUCCGCACUUUAGGGGGUCAAUGUCUGGAUGAAAGAUCUUCAGUGGCAUUGUCAGUCCUGGUUUCGUCUCCAUAGUGAGAUGCUUUAAGGUUGUGAUUCUAGUCUUCAUCUGUGUUUUGUAUAUUUGGCGUUUGGCAGAAGUUAUUUGGCCAGUACGUAGCUGGCUAAACAAGAGCUGCCUAGCUGCUCCCUGGGAGCUUGUGGAUGUAUCUUCUGUUAUUUAUUUCAAUUCCAUUUUUCUUUUUCUCUUGGCUGUGUGAAGAUUCGUGGCAUACGGUAUUAAAUACAAAGCAGUUGUUUGGUAGGUUAAGCUACAAAUUAUAUUUGUUAGAUGGAAAAUAAAUUUGUUAUCAAGCUUAUCGGUUUAAAUUGUCGGUUUUCAAAGUCAUAAACUAAAACCAAACGAAUAACCAAAGAAAAAAAAUCCUAAACCAAAAUUAAAACCCUAAAGUGCUAAACUGAGCUUAUCAAUUUUGUUCGGCUCGGUUGAUCGUUUUUUUUUUCUGUUUUUCGUGAACAAUCCUACCAGCAUAGAUCCUUGCCGAAGCUGGCCAUGGUUGGGCUGUGGCCAUACCCAUGCGGUUUCUUCUAUUUUUUUUUUUAUUUUUUUUUUAACUUUCUUUCAUUUUAUUUUUUAAGAAUUCAUUAAUUUUCAUUUGUUCCUCUUGUUUAUGUCUCUUUUAAGUGUUUUGAUAAACCGGCUUGUAGUUUGGUUGACCCCCUUUUUAUAAUGUGUUAAUGAGAAUCAAAAAUUAAUUUUGUCAUGCCCUUUAAUUUACUUUGCCAAUUGCUUGCCAAGUGAUGUCUUUAGCUUCCGCGGCUUUAAUCUUGUCCUCUUUUUGCUGAUCGCGUGUUAACGGCCUAGCCAAGCCCACGUUCUUUCGAUGCUAGACUUCAGCCUACCAUCAAUUUUUCCUUCCAUAGAUUGUGCGCAUGAAGGAAUCGAACCAAAUGAAAAGAAGGCAAACGGUGAUAGAAAACGCGGAAAAGAGGAAACGGAGAAGAGAGAGACAAAGCUUGAGCGCGCAUCUCACGGGAAACUCGCUAAGCCAGGUUAGCCUCAUUUUGCAAGGCCCAAUAACUAAUCGAACUCGUUAUUCGUCUAAUUGAAAUAAUUUUCGGAAUUAGGCCACAAAUUGGAAGUUUAAGUGAAUUUUGAAACGCGAUUAAGGAGUUAUUAAGUUAUGGAUUUAUAUGGAAAUGGUCCUGUUUUGUGUGGGCAAAGUUGUUAGCCCACCACAAUCAAUGAGUUUGAAAGAGAGCCCCAAGAUUUGACAUGUGCUCUCAUAUCAUAGAACAAUACCUAAUCAUAAAAUUUAAACCAUUAAAUGAAAGGUGACUACAAGUAUACAAAACAUAUCAUAACUAUAACUUAAGUGAUUUAGAACUAUACUUAAUAGUUUGAAUGGAUGAGACACCAAAUAAUUAUACUGAUGGAGGUAAAAGAUUUCAUUCCAUUUUGGGGUAUCUUCACAUAAUAAAAUUCAACUCCAACUUUACAGAAUCCUGCAAUUUUUAUUCAAUUACAGAAAUUAAUUAAAGUGGCCCACUUGCAUCAUGGUGAGAGGAUCCAAUUCAAAGACAUGUAGUUAAUAACUCACCGUUGUCCACAUCUGCAAUAGCCUUCCUAACUAGCCAUGUCACAUAAGACAGUUGAUAUUCACGUUAAUAAUUACUAGUAAAAAUUAGCUGGAAUGAUUAUAUUGACAAAAAUCGAAAGAUUUAAGAUUAAAUUGGUCAAAUUGAAAAGUUUAUAACUGACUUAACCACCAUAUAAUAGGUUCAUGACUUUUUAACUAAUUAUCCAUAAUUUUUUUCUGUUGAUUGAUAAUGCUUCAUUCUGACAGAGUAAAGUACCACUUACUUUUGAACAGCCAAAAAAUGGAUGAUGCUUACAUAUACAAACGUCAUUACGCUAUAGCUAUAAAUGACUACAAAAUGCAUAUAUCUUCACUUACAUUAGAUGUAACACCAAAUGAACUCGAAAUUGCACAUCUAACUAAAGAGACAUAUUUUCCUCUAUUCUUGCUAAAGCCAAUCUCAAAGUAGAGGAUUAGACAACCCGCUUGCAUAUUUAACUAAAAAUAAAAUUUGUGGCAUGUCAAACUAUGAUUGGAUGCUCUAACUAGGGUAGCUAAAGAUUUUCUAUGAUGUUCAUUGUUCAUAGGUUAAGAAACAACAGAAUAUGUAACUAGUUUGUAAUACCAAUUCUCACCAAUAAAGAGAAAAACUCAGAAUAAGUCGUCAGAGUAGAGAAUAAAAGUGAAAAUCAUUUUUUUCCCUGACGAGGAGAUUUGUGUAGAGGAAAUAAUUCUUUACGCAUGGGAUGAAUUUGGUUGGAUGUUAAUUUAUUGCAUCUUGAUACAUAUAAAAUGUAAUAUCAUAUAGUAUGAAUUUGGAUGAGUAAAUAUCGAGAACAUAAAGAUUGGUGUACAAAAUUGAUUUACAUGAUGAAAUAAUAGAUCCCAAUGAGUAUCUACAUUAAGGAGGACGUAUACAUUCAAGCAUCCAAUAAUAGUUUUGACAUAUACACCGAUAAAUAUCGGUCUUUACCAACCUUGGUAUCAUCAAUUUUUUUUUUAAAAGCCGUAUGAAAGCAUCAAAUAAUGCUGGGAGUAUUUAUUUAUUUGGGUUUUUUUUUUUAAAGAUAUCUUCACGGGGAAAAUUGGCAGAUUGAUGUUUAUAUUAUUGAAAGACUCGGCCUGUGCUUGGCGACUUCUCAUGUAUAACAUUGACUUCAUUUUAAAACACCAGUUCAGAUUCAAUGUUGUAUCCAAUACUGGAUCGAUAUUAUGAAAUUUCAUCCACACUACCCCGGAUACAAGCCAACCAACAAAUAUUUCAAUAGGUUGCUUCGCUUAGUCGAAAAUAGAGUUAGGUGGGCUACCUUUUUAAUUAUUAUUAAAGGAUGAACAGGAACCUUCGAAUGUACUGUUCAAAGUUGAUAUGAUACGGAUGCUACUUGUAUAGAAGUUAUAAUUUGCAUUUCGCAAGAUGACAAAAUAUAUUUUGCGUAUGAUAAGUUACUUUAUCCCCGUUGAAGAUGGCGUUCACUUGGUAUACUAGUCUUCCCGCGAAGUCAGUACAAAAUGCAUCUGGAGAGAAUCCUCGAUACUUUGGGUGUUCACAGUUUUUGGGCUAACAUUAUAAGAGUUAUUUUGCAUACGAUGUUUUGGGCAUUGGGUAAUGGCCGUGGAGGGUUUGACAUGAACAUAAAUUUGGCCUUAGCCACCAGAGAUGAAGUUGAAAUGGAAGACACUGAGGAAGGCUCAAUUGGAGGAUACGAGUUAGAUCCAAACCAAGUCACACAGGACGUCUCCAGAGGCACCAUUUAAAAGAUCGAGCGGAAGAGUUACUCUGUUGGGAAAGCUGACGGAUGCUGUUCUAUUUGUUUAGAGGAACUGGAUGAGAAAUAUAAAGUGAUGGAGAUACCAUGUUCGCACCUAUUGCACAAUAGGUGUGUCAUCAAGUGGCUCGAGAGGAAUAAUUCGCGUCCACUAUGUCGUGGCAAAGUACAAGUACAAGAUUCAGAGUAGUCAGUUUUAGUUUGUAAGAUUUUCUGAUAAGAAAUGAAUUUUUUUUUUUCCCUGAUGGAUUAAACUAUUGUGCUGGAAUGACUUUGGGUACUUAAUGCAGCGCCCGCUGCUACAGUUCUGAAUAUCACCCCUGUUAAAAAACCGAGGUCACCUGUGAUGUCCCAGUAGAGACCAUAUAUAGUUUCUGUUUCUUCUAUGGCUAGAACCUGGCAGAGAUUGUAACCUGCAUUUGGAAAGAGAGCAAAACGAAAAGAAAAUUGUCCAGUCAAUAUUUACAUGAGAAACACUCACAAAAGAAUGUUCACAUAAGAGUACCAAGCGAGCGGGGAGCGGGGAACGGGGAGAGGGAGGUUGAGAGAGAUUCUUACGCAAACCGACAUACGGAAUAUGCGCAACUUUAUUAGCUCGGUUUUGCUAGUUAUCCUAGGCAACAAUGACCCAUUCGUAAGAAAAUGGGCAAAGACGGCUAACAGUGUAUUAUGCGCACAUUUGAUAAUCUCAUAUAUAAGCUGUCGUGUAUAUUAGAAAUAAAUUAAUAAGAUCGUUGCAGAUAUUUCUCAGAAAUUUAUUUAUUUUUUGAUAGGUGAAAGAGAAUAUUACUGAAGCGCAGCAAGGGAGUGGAAACCCAUAUGCGAAAAGAGCUCAGUUACUCGACAAAUUAUGUACACUGUUAAAGCAUUUCCAUCCGCACGACUUUCCAGGACACCAAAAGCAUAAGAUUUUUAACCAACUUUCAAUAAUUACAGAAAAGGGCGUUUCCUCUCCGAUGAAAGCUCUCAUAUUCGGCUCUCGGAAACUUAACUUAAACAGAUGACUUCCGACCAACAGAAUAUAUACAGAGACAUGCACAACAUCUGUUGUUCCAUCAAUGUUGAACACUAACGUAAGUUCUGGUAAUAAUAUAGGUACCUGUGCGGGUAGUCAUCCACCACACCACCAGUGAAUCUAGCACACAUGGCAGAGCUCAGAAUCAACUCUGCUGGGCUAUGCUUUUUGGAUAAACUUGAAAAACUGCUUGUGUCGCCCCUUGCCAAGCAUCUAUAUGACGAGCCAAAAAAUGCCCUAAAAACACUCUAGACAAAUGUUGAUUAUUAGCCAGCCAAAUAGAGACUAGAAGUUCUGCAAGAUAGAAAAGAAGAAAAGAAGAAAUCUUUUGAUUAUUCCGGACAAUCAUACCAUCCAAUACUAAGGGAGAAGCUUCAAUCCUAACAAUGGCUCCUGAGAGGACUUAUCGGCGUUGCAUAACCACUACAUGAAAAACAGAUAUAGAAUCAACAAACUACAGAAAAGAAACCAACAAAGAUUCCAAGUUACCCAGUGUAGGAACUCAGAGAAUUUCCAGAUAGUGUAACAAGAUUAUGAAAUAAGAAUGAUAACAUGCAAAAUUACUGACAGAAGACAAUCAGAAUGUAUGGAGACAAUACAACAAUGACAAAAGGUGUAUCACCAAGCUAUGGUCCACCGGUCCUUCAAACCCAGCUAUGCCCAAAUUCUAAAUAUUUCAUGUGCACAAUUUACCCCUUGAGUAUCCACUUAAUAACAAGUCAUUCUUACGGAUCAUUCUUUUGGUGUCUAACUAGCAGAUAAGGGGGAAAGACAGAGAAUUGAAUCUACCAAAGUUGAAGCACAACAGUAGCUACUUUCUGCAGGGAACUUUUCUUAUGGAUCAUUCUUUGAUUUGUCUGAUCCAAGCCAAGAGGUCAACCAUGCAUCCACAGUGCUCAUUAGUUGGAGCGGUGCCAUAACCUUUGCUCACACGUCCGAACAAGCGCCAUGCUCCAUUGAUUAGACACUUCCGAUUGCAGGCCAUUGGACCUCCAAUAAACGUCACAGCAUUUGGUUUAGGGCCCCUAUUUUCCAUCUCGUAGAAAAACUGCAGCCCAGUUUCAUUCUUACCAUUGACAGCAAACCCCAAUAUCGUCGCACUCCUAGUUGUCAACAUCUUUUAGAGGCAUUUGGUCAAACACUUCUUCGUGCGAAUCCGACGAACCCACAUGUGACAAGAAAAUAAUCAAUGCAAAGCCUGGCCCAAGUUCGUAAACGAUGCCACUCUUAUCUUUGUACUUAUGAACCCAUUAUCCUUCUUUAGAGGCUUCCACAAUAGCACGGCACAAAGUACGCUAUCCUAAAGAGAUCCAAUUAAUUUCACGUCUGCACGAUCUUUAACCCCAGAAAACAGCUCGAUGGUUUCAUCAAACCGCUCGUUCCUAAAUUAGCCAGAGAUCAAGGCACUGUAGGAAACACCAUUUUUCCCUGGCACUGAAUCGAACGGUCCUCGAGCUUCCUACAAGAGGUCACUGCUACAAUACCCAGUGAUAAGGCUCGUCCACCAAACCACGUCCCGCAUUGAACUCUGAUCAAACGGGUGGCUAGCAACACUCGCAGCCCAAUGCCUCCGGUACAUGCUUAUCAGAGAACCCACCAUGUAUGCAUCACAAUCUCGCGUGAACUUCAUCGCCCGGUGGUGAAGUUGGCCAAGCAAAGGAAGAACGAGCGCCAUGCCCCGACCAGAGCAGUGGAAGUGCGGGCAUAUGGCGGGCGUAGACAGAGACCAGCUUUCCCACAUUCGAAGUACCCCCAAGAAACUCAUCAUCCCGAUUCCCAAGUCGAAGACAAUGGUGGUGGGUGAGUGGGAACACGAGAGAAAAGGCACGCCGCGUAGUUCAUGUGGCUGCGAACGGGAAGCGAGAGAGGCCAAAGAUGAUGGCGUGGGUGGUCGGUCAAUGGUUGAGCAUCUUCGGAGAAGGGCGAGCGUGUGAUAUAUUUAUCACUAAUUGGUUGGAUAAUUUCGUCAUUUCACAAUGUGUAAUAAUAAAUAAAAUAUUUAUUCUAUAUAUGUCUUCUUCUUUUUUUUAAUAGAGAAAUUAUAUAUUAUAACCGGUCCAUUUAACACCCCUACUAUAUAUGUCUUUAGACAUUUUGGCUCUGUUCACAGCCAAUUUUAUUAUGGAAAUAGCGAGUUUCAAGAAAUUAAAACCUAAUAGUGAUGGGAGAAUCAUUCGAUGCUAUUUAGAACACAAAGGGAAUACAAAGUUAUCGUGAUUUAUUCCUUGAUUAGUCCAUCCACAAUCAACUUUGGUCACUAAGGGCACGUUUGUUUAAAUGUGUUUCUGUUCCCAGGAACACAAAUUUUUGUUUUUGUGUUCCUGGGAACAAAAAAGAAAGGAACACAAAAACGAAACAGAAACGCAUUUAUUUGCGUUUUUGUUCCAAAAUUAUUUUUUUGUUCUCAGAAACACAUUUGGAAUGGAAACAAGAAACUAAAAAAUUUUGUUUCUGGAAUAAAAUUUAGGAACACUUUUUCUCUCUCUUCCAUUUUCUUCUCUCUUUUUUUUCUUCUUCUUUUCUUCUUCUUUUUUCUUUAUUUUUUCUUUGGCCGGUCGCUAGCCUCGGCCAUGGCCAGCGACCGGCCGUCGAGGGCCGGCGACCUCGCCAGAGCAUCACCGGCCCCUGGUGAGGCCGACCUCGCGCCGGGCUGGGCGAGCUCAAGCCCGCCUAGCCAAGGCGAGGCCGCUGGCCCUCGUCAGCCGGUCUCCGGCAAUGUCUGAGGCUGGCGACUGGCCAAAAGAAGAAAAAAGAAAAAAGAAAAAAGAAAAAAAAGGAAAAAUAAAUAAGAAAAAAAAGAAAGAAAAUAGAAAAAAUAAAAUAAAAAUAUUAAAAGAUUAAAAGAAAUAAAAAAAUUAUACAAAUUUACCAAACGUGUUUCUAUUCUUUUUAUAUUUCUGGAACAGAUUUACCAAACACGUUUUUUGUUCAAAAAUUGUUUCGUGAAACAGCAAUACUUUUUUCUAUUUCUAUUCCCAUAAACAAUUUUUAAACAGAAAUGUUACCAAACGCACCCUAAAUAUAUCAUAUUUGAGCGUAAUAAUUAUUAAUCACACUUUGUAAGAGAAAACUGUAAUCCACGCGCAAUUGCAUGACGGAUCAAUUUACCAUAAUCAACUCUGCCCACUCAAAGUAUACCUUGAUAUAUACGAAUAUAGACAUGAACAUAAUAGAAAAUUUCCUAUAUAACCACAGUGGAGAAAGAAAUGAAAAAAGAAGAAGAAGAAAACAAUUGAAAACAUUAGGGGGCGCAUUUGAUAAUGAUUCUAUUUUCGGGAACAAUUUCUGAUUAAAAAGGAUUCUUUUAAAUUUUGUUUUUAGGACUAAUUUCUAAGCAUUUUAAGUAGUUUGGUAAUUGUUCAAAAUUUAUGAUUUUAGAAUAGAAUUCCAUUGGGUACUGUGCUUAAAAUUUCUACUCCAAAUCAAUUUUUUUUAAUUUUUAAAUAAUUUUAUUACUUUUUUUCUUUUUCUUUUUCUUUCUCUCCUAUUCUUCUUCUUCAAGUGGUUGGUCGCCGAUUCGGCGAUCGGCGAGAAGAGGGCUGGCGACCUCCCCAGAGCAUCAUCGGCCCUUGGCAAGGCCGGCCCUCGUCGGCAGAGCCUUGCUAAUGGCCAGGUAGGCCUCAUUGGGGCUGGGUGAGGCUCGCCUAGCCAUCGGCGGGGUUGGGCGAGCCUCGUUGGGGUUGGGCAAGGCCAGCCUGGCCAUCGGCGAGGCUGGGCGAGCCUCGCCGGGGCUGGGUGAGGCCUGCCUCGCCGGUGGCUGGGCUUGCCUUUAUCGAGCUUACCGGACCUUGCCUUGGCCUGGCGAGCCUUCGGUGAGCUCACCAUAGCAGUUGUCGGCGACUGGCAGCGGUGGGCGGCAAACGGCGGCGGAUGGCAACCGCGGCGGUGGCGGUAGAUGAAGAAGAAGAAGAGAAAAAGGGUAGAAGAAGAAGAAGAAAAUGGCUUGAUUAUUAGAUUUGUUCACGGGAAUAAGAAUCAACUUUUUUUUAUUUAUUCUUGAUUCUAUUCCAAAUCUACUUUCGGGAACAAAAACAUAGAAAUUUGUUCAUGGGAACAAAAAUUUUACCAAACACUUUUCUAUUCCAAAACUACUCCUAGGAACAAAAACUCAGAAUCUGGCAUUAUUGGGAUGGUUACCAAACAUUCCCUACGACUGGUCUUAAAAAGAACCACUCGCCAAGGAUUGAAUUUCUCGAGAGAAAUAGAGAGAGUCUAAUUGCAUAGAAUAAUAAAAUUAUAAACAUAAAAUAAAAAUUUUCCAUUGGUCAGCAAACAAAAGAAAUACUAAUUCAAGAUAAAGUCUCAUUAAAAGAUAUGUUUGACCUAGGAAUUCUAUAUGCUCUUUUAAGUUAAAUGGCUUUCAAAGGGUGAUUCUUGCACUUGUGAGCUCUUUUUAUAACGAUAUAAACAUGUAUUGAUCAUCGUCAAUCCAAUAAAAUGGCUGCUCUUUAAUAGAUUUUACAUCUUAAACCAUGUUGAAACCAAUGUUUUUCCUUCUUUUUGUCGCUUCUCCAAAAAGGCACGUGUCCCUUUAAAGAGGAAGCAACUAAUUGUACUCAACAAUUUCUAGAUGCAUACCUGUAAUGGAGAAAUUGGUUUAUGUCAAUAAAUCUUUCAAAUUCAAAGCUCCAUCUAAAAUAGAGAACCAUUAGGGAAAAAAAAUAAUUGAUCAGGUCUGAGUGAUUUAGUCUGCACUUAGAACCGAACUGAUUAUCAAUGAUUCCAAAUUUUAGGAACGAGGAAUUGGACUAGUGCUCACCCCUAGAUAGUAUGUUUGAAUGUAAAGAAUUUGUGCAACCAACUGAGAUCUUUGGUUUUACAUACCGAUGAAAAUGAUUUUCCUGAAUAUGUCAAUUGAAAAAUUUAGCUAUGGUUAAGGAAAUUUCUAGGAAGAGUUUAAUUAAGUGAUGCAAAUAUUUUUUAACUGAACACCGGUCGCGAAGGUCUAUAGGUGUAGAGAGCAAAGCUCAAGCCAUAUGUGUUUUGUUUUCUUCAACUAGUUAAUUGAUAACCUUCUACCAUGUCUUUAUUUAUAUAAAAGAAAAUACUUUUAAUACCUUAGCUAAGAUUUCAAGCAAAGUUUAGAGUUCCGAGGCAUUGGAGUGUUAUUAUAUGUAUCCCUGUUUUUGUGCAAGAAUCUAGCAUUGCGCAAAAAUAGAAUUCCGACAAUACAACCCUUUCGAUGUCUUGCCGAAAUAAUUCAUGGUUAGCACAUCAACAAACACAAUAAAGUGACCCAAAUGCUGCAUCUUCUCGAUAGUCCCUUUAUAUAUAUGUAUGUAUGUAUAUUGUCGAGCUUCUCAAUAGCGUUGACUUAUGUACAUUCAUUACUACGUGGAAAGAAUGAAAGAAACUCUUGAGCUCUAGUGGAGCAGUUAGUAGUCUCUCUUCCACAAUGGUCCAGAGGAAGUCUGCUGCUUCUCUGUGCGCCGUAUUGCUAGGGUACCCUUGGAUCUGUCACCACCUGAUCAACAGCUUCCGAUGAAUUCUCAAUGGGUGGCUUAAGAGGCCAAAAAUUUCUAUUCCUAGGGAUUAAAGAUGCUGGCAAGUUCUCGUCAUGGCACCAUCGCUGACCUCGGUUGUGUGUGCUCAUCUGUCAAUUAUGCCUCGGCCCACUUGACCUCAACCCCCUCAAGUUUAAAGGAGUCUUACCUGGCAGGGGAGCAAGAGUUAGUCCUUAGGUAUCAAGAACUCUCUGGGGACAGAAUCCAUGUCCACGUAACAAUUUUUGGCUUUAGCAUCAGCACUCCGCGCAGCCCAAUCAUCAGACUGAAUCAAAGGUUAACGUUUCCCAUUACCUAAUAAGAGUAAAAGACACUAAAACAAUCACAAUCUGUCCUCGUAAGUGACAAAUGAACAGGACACGGAGUUGGCCAUAAAGACAAAGGUAUACAACAGGGCUGAUGAAACCAUACCUUAGAUGCUCCUAUAUACCGAGUAAACAUGGGUUUCGUGUGGUAAGAGACAGAACCACCUCAGUGGGAUUCUUGACCAUAUGUAAUAUCACAAAUUAAGGCCUAAGCAAUGGAUCUUUGUAACAUAUUUAAUCAUGUUACUUCACCAGUCUCACUAUCGAUUAGGCAUUCUUGGUAACAGUAUUUGGAAGGGACAUCAUGGAUUUGUUAAUGCAUCCUAUACCGAACAGACAACAACAUUGUUGCGCAAUCCAGCUUGCUAAAAUCUAUCAAAAAGUCUCCUGCUAUCUAGCAAGGUCCGAUAACACUAGCAGGAAGCUGCUGCGGAUCCACAAACAGAAACAUCAAGCAGCACCAAGAGAAAGGGAAGGAAUAACUGCCACCAGAUUGGCAUGCACUGCCUCAUCAAUGACUGCCAUUUCGAAACCAUGAGAAAGGCGAGAGAAUAAGGCUGCGUUUGCUUUGAUUUCUUUUUUCUGUUUUUAAAUAAUUUUUUUGUUUUUUUGUUCCUGGGAACAAAAAAGGAACAGAAAUGCCUUUGUUUGCGUUUUUGUUCCAAAGUUAUUUUUUUGUUCCCAGAAACACAUCUAGAACAGAAACAAGAAACAAAAAAAAAUUAUGUUUCUUGUUUCUGGAACACAUUUUAAGAACAAAAAAUGAACAAAAACAUAAGCCCUCGUGUUUCUUUUCUGUUUCUUGCUCAGCCGUUCGAAGACUGCCUCUCCUCCUACAUCUUCUCCACCGUCAUCUUCUCCGGCGCCUCCCACUCUCCGGCGCCAACAACCGCCUCUGUCUCGAGACCAUCCGGCUUCUCCACCGUCGUCCUCUCCGGCGCCGAUAGCCGCCUCUGUCUCGAGACCGUUAGGCUUCUCCACCGUCGUCCUCUCCGGCACUAACAGCCGCUGCUCCUUCACUAGGUGAACCUGCUCACUGCUCCUCCUUCACCGAUUGACGAGGGCUUCAGCGAGAGCCACCCCUCACAGAUUUGGGCGAUGGCUGCUCGGAGCUCGAGCGUGAGGGCUCGCUUGAGCCAGCGCUUGCCCAGAUCUGCGAGACGCUUGCUCUAGCGAGUCUCGUAGAUCUGGGCGAGCGGGGCACCGUUGCUCGCUAGAUCUGCAGCAGCGGCUCGUCUGCUCACUCGAGAUCUGGACGAGCACGCUCGCCGAGAUCUGGCGAGCAGACGCUGCCCGAGAUCUGGACCAGCACGCUCGCCCAGAUGAGCAACUCACUCGAGCAUUUGCUUGCAGCCAAGAUCUGGACCAGCACACUCGUCCAGAUGAGUAGCUUGCUCGAGCGUUUGCUUGCAGCGAGCCCUGCUCUGCUCGCUCGCUGCUGCUCACGCUCGAGUGAGCUGUGAGUAGCAGCGAGCGUCUGCUGCUUGCUUCUCUGCUCGCUCGAGCAUGAGUAGCAGUCACUUGCUUCUCUGCUCGAGCGAGCAGAGCAGCGAGCCUAGCUCUGCUUGCUCGCUGCUGCUCACACUCGAGGGAGCAGAGUAGCAAGCGUCUGCUCGCUCGAGCAUGAGCAGCAGCGAGCGAGCAGAGUAGCGAGCGUCUGCUUGCUUGCUUGUCUGCUCGCUUGCUGCUGCUCACGCUCGAGCGAGCAGACAAGCGAGCAGAGCAGCGAGCGUUUGCUCAUUGCUCACGCUCGAGCGAGCAGAGCAGCGAGCGCCUAAUGAUAUUGAUUAUUAAACUUGUUGAAGAUCUUUGGAUUGUGUUGCAACUAGGAGAGAUUGAUGCAUAGGUGGAUGCAUCCUAAUACUGUUAAUUCCUGUAUUAGUGUCAAUCCUGUUGAUCAAACGAUAAGGUAACAUGUUACGUUUUUCAUAACUAGAGAGAGGAAAAGGACCUCUCAAAAUCUCAUCCCUUCUAUUACAGUAACACGUUACGUUUUCUGGCAAGUUAAGUCAUUGAAAUCAUUUAACUAAUUACUUUAUAAAAGUUGUGAAACUUAAACAAUCAUUUUCAAAGGAUUUUUUUGCCAAAAUAGGCUUGGUACAAUGAUUUUUGGCAAUGAUAAUGUCCGUCUCCAUCAUUUGAUUUUUGUUGCAAUGUGGAAUUAAAACUUAUCCUGUAUUGUGGAAGCCUCUUGCAUAUUUGCACUCAUUUUGGUGACUGUUUCCUUCUCUUUUCCUUGUUUCUCACUCUAUCUCAAUUAGUUGUCUCCUUCCUAGGUGAACAAUGCUGGUGUUGGUGGAUCCAUUAUCGACGCUGAUGCUUUGAGAACUUCGGUGGAUCCAUCCAAAGUUCCGCCUUACCGGUGCCAAUCCACGAAGAAAUAUUUUUUUUCCCUUGCUCUGUUUGCAAUUUGCCAGUCCUUGCCACAUAAAUCGCAAUUUGCUGAUUUUGGAAAUAGUUAUCCGCACGCUAAGGUUGGCCUUUCGGCUUCUUUUUUCUUUGUCUUAAUCUUAGAGAUCUUAUAAUUUAGUUGGACUGUGCACAAAAUAGGAUAGGGUGUACGGAUCCAUAUAGGUUACCAUGCUGAUUCUGUGUAUGGCGUGUAGUUCUUAUGGUAUUAUGUUAUUGAUUUAAUUCAUAACUCAUAUGAUGCUCAACCGGUCGAAGAUUCAAUGGCAUCUGAGAGACACUCAUUCAAUGCAAAGUGGACGGAGUCUAUAACCAAUAUACUUAUCGAUUUAAAGGGAAACCACACCUCUUCCACUUUCGACAAAGCGGGGUGGAGGAAUGUACAGUCUGAACUCAGUAGACAGACAUGAUUCCAAUUUACCAUGGUACAGCUGAGGAACAAGGAAAACAAACUGAAAAAACAGUAUGGCAGUUUUCACAAACUCAUUUCUCAGUUCGGAUUUGGUUGGGAUAAUGUGAACAAAAGAGUUGUUGUCGACGAUCCAAGUAUAUGGGAAUCUCAUAUCAAGGUAUUUCUUAACUUUGUGGUCAUUUUGAUAUCAUUACAAAUGUCAAUUUUAAAAUGUAUGAUUAUAUUGCUGAAAUGUCAAUAUUGUGAAAAUUGUAGGAUAAUGUCGAGUGGGCAAGAUUCAGGAAGAAUGGAUUUCCUCAGUAUCAUGAGCUCUGUAUUGUUUUUGGUGGUACAUAUGCUACUGGGGAUCACGCCAUAGGAAAUGCUCAAGAUGUGAAUGUGUCGGAUGAUGAUGACAAUGGUGAUGACAAUGUAGGUGGUGACAACAGUAGUGGCGAUGCAAAUGGUGUCAAUGCAGGUGGUGACUAUGAUGGUAGCAAUGCAAAUGAUUUCAUUGGACACCACAGUGAUGACAGACUCUUUACAACAGACGAUGCUGGAACUUCAGUUCAUGGAAAGCACAAAUUGGAUAGAACUCCAAAUAGUAAGUGGAGAAGAAAGAGUAACCAAUCCGGUAUUGCUGAAACUUGCAGAGCCAUACAAGAUUUUCUGAAAGUUAGGUCAUCAAGUCAAUCUGGUGGUGGCUCUGCGAGCUCAGGGACUACACAACCACCUGUAGACCAUUUCUCCAUAUCUGCUAUAGUCCAUAUUCUAUUGAGUAUGCCUGAGAUAGAGCAAGAUGUUUACAAUAAAGCAGUGGAACGAGAAUGCGCCAGUUGUCAAUGGAGGGAGGCUUUCAUUAUAUCCACAUCUGCAAGGAGGAUUGGACUUCUUCAAUUCCUUUAGUAGAUGUUUGGAAAUAUAUUAUGAAUUGCAUAGAGUUUCAUUAGACUAUAUAACUUAUAUUAUCUAUUAAUCUUUAGUUUAUUCAAAUAUGAUUAAUGUUGAGACUCUUGUACUUAUAUGUAAUGGCAUAUCUUAUUGAGAUUUUAUGACUUAUGUUAUUGAUUGUUAUUGGGAUGUGUUUUCAAAAUCUAUAUUGAUGUUUUGGUCAUUUUUGUGAUUGUAAAGGUACUAUGGAAGGGGGAUCAAAUAGUGUGUCUAAUGAGCAGGUACAACCAGUUGAACAAUUCUUGGAUGAUGAUAUUAACAUAUUGGUAGUGUGGUUCUGCUUAGCUGCGAUGGACACGUCCCUGCAUACGAGAGAACCUAUUAGGGACAAUCAAUUAUCAGGAGUAGAAUGGAUAAGGGAGAUUGUUCAUGGACAUUCAGAUAGGAUAUAUGAAACAUUUAGGAUGGAGAGACAUAUUUUUCUUAAUUUAUGUGACUUAAUGAGGGUAAGGGGUUGGUUGAAAGAUAGUUGAUAUGUUCAAAUAGAUGAACAAGUUGGGAUAUUCUUAAGUGUGGUUACUCACAAUAACUCAAAUAGAGAUUUAUGUGAGAGAUUCCAACAUUCAGGAGAAACGAUCAGCAAGUAUUUCAACAAAGUGUUGAAAGCAAUGAUCAAACUUUCAAAGGAGAUAAUCAAACCACCGUCCUUUGACGUCAUUCCACAAGAAAUUCUUAUUGAUCCUAGUCAUAAACGCUACUUCAAGGUAUGAUUUUUAUAUUGAUUUUAUACCGUCAAAUACAUGUAGUUGAUAAUCUUAUAUGAUAUUAGAUUGUUAAUAUAUUGACAGGACUGCGUAGGUGCUACGGAUGGCACCUAUAUAGAUGCUACCGUCUCUGUGUCUCAGCAGAUUCCAUUUAGAGGUAGGAGUAGAAGAACAACCCAGAAUGUGCUGUGUAUUUGCUCUUUUGAUAUGAAAUUUACUUUCGUGUAUGCUGGAUGGGAAUGAUCUGCCAACGAUUGUCGAGUGCUUUUAGCAGCACUAAAAAAUCCUCAACUACAAUUUCCCCGACCACCACCUGAUACUUACUUUGUUUAUGAAGACAAUUUUAUGAUUAUAUAUUAUGGUUGAAUAUCACAACAAAUUUAUAUAUAUCAUGUUAUAAGGAAAUAUUACGUGGUAGAUUCGGGUUAUGCAGCACUUCCAGGAUUUUUAACUCCAUUUAGAGGCGAUCGGUAUCAUCUAAGCGAGUAUAGAGGGAAUGGGGGACGACCAAGGACAUCAAGAGAAUUGUUCAACAAGAAGCACUCUUCACUAAGAAAUGUAAUUGAGAGGUGAUUUGGGGCAUUAAAGAAUUGCUUCACCAUUUUGAGACAGAUGCCUUCAUUUACAAUUCGGAAGCAAGCACUUGUUGUAAUUGCUUGUUGUGCUCUCCAUAACUACAUUCGUGAUCAAGAAGCGAUGGAUAGAAACUUUUCCCUAUAUGGAGAUCCGGAGUAUCCAUGCGAACCUACAGAAGUGGAGGUUGCAGAUGAUACAUUGCAUGAUGCACCUAGAAUAAACAUGCUAGGACAAGGAUUGCAAAUAAAAUGGCGACGGAUCAUAAUAUGCCUGAGAUUUCAUGACUUUGUGUUUCCGACUUUUGUAAUUUUGUUUUUAAGUACUCACUUAUCAAAUUCAAUGUGAUGAAGUUGAAUAAUGAACUAUAUUGUCCGGGAUAAGAACGCUUCAAGUGCCAAAAGUUGGCACAAAGGGACACUUAAGUGCCAAAAGUUACGAAAGGUACACUUGAGUGUCACAUUCGAAGAAAAACGGAUCACUUAAGUGCCACUCCGGCCAAAGUCCGGCCAAAAGGCUGACGUGGCAUUUUUCCGACGAAUUUCCGGCGAAGUGAACCCAAAACGACGCCGUUUUGCAUGCUGACAUGGCAAAUAAUGCAAAAACGGCGUCGCUUUGGGUUGACAUGGCAAAAAAAUAAUAUAACAAUUAAAUAAAUUAAAUUUAAAAUUCGAUUUAGAUAAAAUAUUAAAAAAAUUAAUUUUAAUAGUUAAAAUAUUAAAAAAAAUAAUAAAUUUAAAAUUACAUUUAGUUAAAAAUUUUAAAAAAUAAUUUAAAAAUUAAAUUUAGUUAAAAUAUUAAAAAAUAAUAAUUUUAAAAUUACAUUUAGUUAAAAUAUUUUUAAAAAUAAUUUUAAAAUAAAAUUUAGUUAACAUAUUAAAAAUAAUAAUUUUAAAAACUAAAAAUUAAAAAAAUAAUUUUAAAAUUAGAUUUAGUUAAAAAUUUUAAAAAAAUAAUUUUAAAAUAAAAUUUAGUUAACAUAUUAAAAAUAAUAAUUUUAAAAACUAAAAAUUUAAAAAAUAAUUUUAAAAUUAGAUUUAGUUAAAAAUUUUAAAAAAAUAAUUUUAAAAUAAAAUUUAGUUAACAUAUUAAAAAUUAAUAAUUUUAAAAAUUAAAAAUUAAAAUAAAUUUAAAAAAUUAAAAUAAAUUUAAAAAAUUUAAAAUUAAAUUUAGUUAAAAUAUUAAAAAAUAAUAAUUUCAAAAAUAAAAAAUUUAAAAUUAGAUUUAGUUAAAAAUUUCAAAAAAAAUUACAAUUAGAUUUAGUUAAAAAAUUAAAAAAAAUUAAUUUUAAAAUUAAUUUAUUAAAAUAUUAAAAAAUAAUAACUUUAAAAAAAUUAAAACAAAUUAAAAUAAUAAAAAUUUUAAAAUUAGAUUUAGUUAAAAUAUUAAAAAAUAAUAAUUUUAAAACUAAAUUUAAUUAAAAUAUUAAAAAAUAAUAUUUUAAAUUAAAAAAUAAAAGAAGGGGGCGGUGGNNNNNNNNNNNNNNNNNNNNNNNNNNNNNNNNNNNNNNNNNNNNNNNNNNNNNNNNNNNNNNNNNNNNNNNNNNNNNNNNNNNNNNNNNNNNNNNNNNNNNNNNNNNNNNNNNNNNNNNNNNNNNNNNNNNNNNNNNNNNNNNNNNNNNNNNNNNNNNNNNNNNNNNNNNNNNNNNNNNNNNNNNNNNNNNNNNNNNNNNNNNNNNNNNNNNNNNNNNNNNNNNNNNNNNNNNNNNNNNNNNNNNNNNNNNNNNNNNNNNNNNNNNNNNNNNNNNNNNNNNNNNNNNNNNNNNNNNNNNNNNNNNNNNNNUUUUAAAUGAUUAUUUUUUAAUAUUUUAACUAAAUUUAAUUUUAAUUUUUUUUAUAUUUUAACUAAAUGCAAUUUUAAAUUUAUUAUUUUUUUAAUAUUUUAACUAUUAAAGUUAUUAUUUUUUAAUAUUUUAACUAAAUAUAUUUUUAAAUUUAAUUUAUUUAAUUUUUAUAUUAUUUUUUUUAUCACAUGAGCCAAAAACGACGUCGUUUUUGCAUUAUUUGGCCAUGUCAGCGUGCAAAACGGCGUCGUUUUGGGUUCGGUUCGCCGGAAAAAUGCCACGUCGGCAUUUUGGCCGGAUUUUGGCCGGAUUGGCACUCAAGUGAUUCAUUUUACUCCGAUUUUGGCACUUAAGUGUACCUUUCGUAACUUUUGGCACUUAAGUGUCCAUUUGUGCCAACUUUUGGCACUUCAGGGGUCCUUGUCCCAUUACUUCAUUAUUGUGAUGUUAUGUAUGAAAGGGUCUAUGUAGAGAUCUAUAAGAUAUUCUUCUUUUAGCCAGCUCUUAUUGUACAAAUUUUACUUACGAAAUUUUGUUCCAAGUAUGCACAUGACCAUGUUCAGAAUGUUUGUCUUCACCCACCAUGAACAAAAUUAAAUUGAUGAGCAUUUCAUUAGAGUGAUAAUGCAAUACCAAGUUUACACUUUAUUGAAAAAAAGGCACGUGAGAAAAAUUUGGUACAAAGUUUAUUUAUAAAAUUUUCUUCAAAGUAUGCACUUAUAACCAUGUUUAGAAUGUUUGACUUUACUCACCAUGAACAAAAUUAAAUUGAUGAGCCUUUUAUGAUAAUGAGAAUUCAAAACCAAGUUUACACUUUAUUAAAAAAAAAAAAAAAGCAAUUGGGAAAAUUUUGGUACAAACUUAAAAAAUUUUCUUCCAAGAAAGCAAAUAUGAUCAUGUUUAGAAUGUUUGUUUUCACUUACUAUGAACAAAAUUAAAUUGAUGAGCAUUUCAUGAGAAUGAUAAUUCAAUACCAAGUUUACACUUUAUUAAAAAAAAAAAACACUUGAAAAAAAAAAUGGAACAUAAAUUUUGUGCAGUUACCAAACGUGUUUCUGUUCUUUUUCUAUUCCAGAAACAGAAAUUUUAUGCAGUUACUAAACGCGUUUUUUUGUUCAAAAAUUAUUCCCUGGAAGAGAAACACUUUUUUCUAUUUCUGUUUCCUAGAACAAUUUUUAAACAGAAACGUUACCAAACGCACCAUAAAUUUCUACCACUGCUUGACAGGGUAGUGAAGACAAUCACAGCUUCAUAUGAGAUCCAUUUAUCAAAGCAGCAGAAACUUUUCCUUGAACUAUGUGAUGUGAUUUGCAAAUGGAUCGAUGGAUCUAAAUUGCCAAUCACACAUUGAUGCUACGAUUAGUAUCAUAUGGGAAUAAAUUGACUAAUAUGAAUUCCAAUCGUUGAAUCAUGCUACAUUUUUCGACAUCCUCCAAAGAUACUACCCAGCAGAAUUCCACUUCGCUUUUAAUAACUCUUGACGACAGAUAUGCAAUGCAACUCAUGCAUACAUGUGAUUAGCAUUACACUGAGCAGAUUUUGGUUCUUCAAAAACCCCAACAUUCCAUCCCUACCACGACACUCAAGAGGGAAGCAACUCGCGAGUGUUGAUUAGCACAAACUGUCAUCUUCCCAAUUGCGUGUGACACAACUUACUCCGGCGGAAGAGACCGAAGAGGGAUAGGUGAACUGUGCAGUGGACUGAGAGGGGGCGUAAAACCACCGCCGGAGAAAGCAGCGGCGGUGCCCUCGAAUUGGCUUCCAAAUGUGGCCAUCUUCUCUGUUUUGUUUCCUUUUCUUUUUCUUUUUUUCACUUGAUCAAGAGGGAAUUGUUUCCAUCGUUGGUUCAUUCGAUUCUCGGAUUUUUUUUUUUCCUGUUAUAGAGCUUCUUUUUCCGUCUGUUUCUCGAUAUACUUCCAUAAGAUUCCACGAAAGAUUUCCUGGGUUUUCUCGUGCUUGGGUUUCAACGUUACCCGUGAAAUCUUGUUCAACCCACUCUUGGUAGCAACGACAUGGAGAAGAUAGUCUAUUGCCUAUACAGUUUGAGGCUAAAGACAAGAAAUUCCGAUUUUUUUGGCCCACCGACCGCUGUCUUUAAUUUCUCGGUCAAGUGGCACCAUUUGCUAGUUUUUGUUGAUAAAAAACAAUUUUGAGUUGUUUAAGUGGACACAACCACUUCUAAUGCUCAUUUUUUUGGGCAAACAUCACAAAAAAUCUCAUACCAUUCGCACUGUGGCAUAAAUACCCAAAGCUUAUAUAUAUAUAUUACAAAAAAUUAUAAAGUUGCCCAUUGUGGCACAAAUACUUCUGACUUUUUUUUCGUGUCACAAAUAAAUCCAAUGUAUAUAUAAAUAUUUUCUAUUUUAGUUCUGUUUAGAGUAUAUUUGUCACAAUUGGCAAGUUUAGGAUUUCUACUAAUAAAAAAAAAUUAAGGUAUUUGUGUCAUGGUUGGUAUAAUUUGAGUUUUUUUGAGGUAUUAAACCCUUAUUUUUUAUUUAUUUAUACGCAAUGCUUUAUUUGCCUUUUUGAGCAUGGGUUUUUUAUUCAAUCAUGUGAUUGAGAUGCGUUUGUUUUUAUUUAUUAAUAUAACUGAGAAAGAAAAUAUUUGAUCACGGAUGCUGAGAGAAAGUGUGCGUAUCCACUCUAGCAUUAUUAAUCCUCGUUAGUUGAUAAUAUAUCUAGCCUUAAUCAUGUAAUGAAAAUCGCGAAUAAAGUGUGGGGUAGUGAGAGUAUUUUGUGUUAUAUAUAGAGUGGUUAGGAUUUGAUUUUAUACACCUGAUCCAGUGCCUUAUCUGAUAGUGUAAAUGAAAGUUCCACGUUAAACGUGCAUUUGAACACUGCCAAAAAAUAGAUGAUGAGUACACAUACAAGUAUCUUUACGCUAUCGCUAUAAAUGAGUAAAGAAUUCGACAUGUGGGCAUGAGGUUUCACGCUCUUGACGUCGUCAAUAUCGUAUGCUAAAUGUCCACCAAAUGGUUCAUUGACUUGAUACUACCCACCUAACUAAAGCGACAUAUCUUUCUCCAUCCUUACUAGAGCCAGACCUCCAUUAGAGGAUUGCAAAUAAGGAUAGAACCCGUUUGUAAAUUUAACUAAGUUGAAAUUUUUGCGAUGUCAAAUUAUAAUUGGAUCCUCUAAUUAGGGAUGGAGGAAAUAACAUAGCCCUUAACUAAAUGAUAUUUAUUUUCUGUCAAAAAAAAAAAGCUAGACAAUUUUUGUUCAUGUGCAUGCUCAAAAUUCAAAGAAAAAGAAGAAGAUUUAAUUGGAUCGAUAUACCAAUUUUCACUAAUAAAUAAAAAAAUUCAGAAGAGGCCGUUCAGGUGGUGUCUAAAAGUGAUUUUUUUUUUCCUACUAUGAGGACCAUCUCCAUUUAACGUAUAAAUUGCAAGAGACACCCAGCACCAUCUUCAUGUUCUUUAUUUAGACACCCAAUCAUUCACUCCAAUCAGCCUCCUCCUCCACCUACACCACCACUAACACCACCAUCACCACACGCCACCGCCGCUGCCGCCACCAUGCAACCCUCUCAACCUCCUUCUCUCAUUGAAAAUUACUUGCGAGACGACGUCAAGUCGCCAGAAUGCGAAGACUUGCUCUCCUCUCUCCCUUCGGAAGAGGGCUGGGUCCAAACCUCUCUCCGCUUGUAUCGGGGCUUCUGGUUCCUCUCUUGGCUCUUGAACAGCGUCUUUGCUUGCCAAAACCAAUUCCAAGUUCACCCCUCUGACAUCCUCCUUGUCACCAGCCCGAAAUGUGGCACCACCUGGCUAAAGGCCAUCCUCUUUGCUCUCUUGAACCAUGCCGAGUACUCUGACUCCAACCCACAACAACGCCACCCUCUCCUAACACAAACCCCCCCACG
This 59689-nucleotide long non-coding RNA is filed under the name Eucalyptus grandis. RNAcentral describes it as "long non-coding RNA (EGRA_LNC001671)". The stretch from base 28658 to 28738 matches the Rfam family "MIR1846 microRNA precursor family", at positions 1 to 86 of the family's 110-position model. Lineage: Eukaryota; Viridiplantae; Streptophyta; Magnoliopsida; Myrtales; Myrtaceae. The record is from RNAcentral.